UCAAGAUUAUGGCAAUCCGACAGCUCAAGAUGUGUUAGAUCAUGAAGUUGACAACAAGAUUCUGGUAGUGAGUGGAGUUUGUAGCAAUCGGAUAGGUUCAAAAACUGAAGCUUAUGCAACUUGCCAAAGGAUUCUGGAAGGGUAGGCAGUUCAUGGCAGCUUGCCAAGUUUAAGAAGAGCAAAGCACUGAGGUUACCGAAAGAGGUGGGAAGUUCAUGAAGGUUGACACAUCCUGAUAGGUCAAAGUAUUGCAGCUUUUGGAGGCAACCAAUGUUUGUGGGCAAUGCCUUCAGAGAAGUGUUUGAAAGUAUCAAGGUUUGCAAGUUUAGGAGACGGUUCAGGGAUUUAGGAAAGUUUGGGAUAGGAAGGUUGGAAGCAUCAAGAUACCGCAAUAGCUUUAGUUUACAAACAGAACCUGGUAGCUCUGACACAUGGCAUCCACUCAAAUCCAAAACUCUCAGAUAUAAUGCGUGUGAGAAUGCUUGCUUAGGAACAUGCAGUUUAUUGCAUUCCCUGAAAUGCAUGGCCCUAACGUUUGGUGGCAAAGACUUAGAGGAUGAAGACUCGUUACUAUUCAUCAAUAGCUGAUAGUGACAAAUCAAUUUGUCCCCCUUAGUAGUGCUGUUUGCCACACCAUUUGUGCAAGAUAAUUCAUCACCAGCAACAUGCCUUGCGAGAUCGUGUACCAUAUCAUGCAUACGAAGUCUAAGUGUGGGUUCAAAACUCCUUGAAGCUGGCACCUUGCAAAAGAAAAUAGAGCAUAGUUCAUAUCUUUUCAAGACAAACAAUUGCAAUUUCGUAAUUACAAGUACACUUACUGUAGGAGUCAAAUUUGUGAGGAAGGACAUCCCCAAGAAUUCAUUAACAUAUUCCCUACCAAUCUUCUGAAGUGGUUGUUCCCCAUUAGUAUCUUGAAUAAACCCCAAAGCAAUCCAUUGCUGGAUCAAACAAUCAUGAUCUAUAUCAUGGUUCUUAGGGAAGAUAGAGCAAUACAUGAAACAAAGUUGAAGUUGUGGAGGCAUGUGGUAAUAGCUUAGCAGCAAGCCCUUCAGAAUUCCUUUGUCAUCAUCCUUAAUAUCCAGUAUGUCACUAUUUUUAAUUUCUAACCAUUCUUCUCUGGUGCACUGCUUCUGCAUCACAUAACCAAGAGCCUUAGCAACCAGAGGUACUCCACUGCAUCGCUGUGCAAUAUCCUUUCCAAUGUCUACAAGGUCAGUAAGUUGACCAUUUCCGAGAUUACGAGGCUUCAUAAUAGACCAGCAUUCAUCAAUUGACAUACCCUCCAGUUUAAUUGGGUCAACAAUCUGAAAAUAUGAAGAAUGUAUGGUAGUGGUAGAUACUAAACUAACAACCUUUUCACUACGGGUAGUGACUAUUAUAUUGCUACCUUUCAUUCCAGAUUGCAACAUGUUCAUCAGAUCCUCCAACUUAGACCUCUCUUCCUCCCAUAAAUCAUCUAAGACUAUAAGAUAAAUCUUGCCAUGGAGUAUGCGGUCAAGUUGAGAUUUUAGGUACUGCAGAUCAACAUCAUUAGCAGGGGUGCUACCCUCGACCUGAGAUAUAAUAGCAGACACAAUCUUAUUUAGCUGAAAGUCCAUCGAGACAUGAACCCAUGCUUUCACAUCAAACAUAUUUGUUUCCUUGUCAGUGUAAACAGCCUUUGCUAAUGUUGUCUUACCCAUUCCACCAAGGCCAACAACAGGAAUGAUAAAGCUUUCUUUCUCUCCAUUUUUCUGCAACACCUUAGUCAGUAUGUCUUUCUUCUCUCUUUCCCUUCCUAUCACCUCAAUUUCAUCUCUGUCACCAAUAAAGGUUUCUCUCCACUUCUUCUUACUAUCUUGGCUUGUUGGGGUAGGCAAUGUCAGAAAACGGAAUUUCGUCUGUUCCUCAAUAAUCUUAUCUAGCAUCACCCGGAUAUUUCUCAUCUUAUCUGAUAUGGUGAUGCGCACAACGAGUGGAUUGAUUGAUGAGAAGAAAAAUUUAGCCUGCAGUAUUUUUGUAAGAUGGAAUCAGUGAAACAACCACAACAUAUCUCCUCAGAAGGCACGUGUGACUAAAAAUCUACCAAAAAGUUAGUAUAGUUUUAUGAAGUAGAUAUAACACCUAACUAGAAAAUUAUUUUCUAUUUCUGGACCGUAGCAUGCAAGAAUUCCUAUGGAUUCCCAAAUUGUGGUCACCAACACUGACAAAAAAGUUGUGGUAGUGUCACAGUCACACCGCACGACAUUAUACUAAUUAAUCCUACAAGUGGAUCAAUGUUCCUAUUCUAUUUCUUUAUCGAUGAAUUGAGAAUUGCGAAUUUCGUUAGUCAAUUGUGCUAGAAAAGAUUGUCAAUUCUAUGACCAUUUAAAUUAGGUACAGGAAUUAGGAUCUUUUUGGAAUGUGUGAAUACAGUUCAAUGGACAAUUUAAAGCUCUAACCCAUUUUACUUUGUGCUUGAUUCGGUAACCUUUUGAGGACCAAAACUAAGCUGGAGCCCCUAGAAAUAAUAACAAAAAGAGUGAAUCAGACUGAAAUUAGAAUGCAGAAAUGUGUAAAGUUUCCUUGAAAUUUCAUGUAAUUUAUUCACACUAGUACUAUAAGUAUAUGCUGAUAAAAAUAUUAUUAAAUAGACCAUACAAUAUCCAGUACAGUAAUCAACUGUGACCUUGCAUUGGAGGGAUCAGGCUAAUUACACAAUGGGCCCAAUAACUUUGUAUUCUGGAGAUAGAUUGCUCUUUGGCGACCGACUUUAGUAGAGAGCAUAGCAAAGUAGCGAAGAGUUGGCAAGCUAGGAGGAACUACUGCUAUGUGUUUGAGGCAACAACACCACGUGUGUUGUCUAACAACUGAACCAUGACUGUAACCCAAGUAAUAUGAAGCUCUCUUGUCCCUUAGAAACAUGGGAAAGGAAUCUGUAUUUAGCAUGCUGCAAUAAUUUUAAAUUUUUAAUUAUCAAAGCAUGUGAAUUCCCCCUUCAAAUAGAAUUUUUUUUAGAAAAAGAAUAUUUGUUUGGUUUCCCUGCGUAAUUUUCCCAAGCCUUUCGAAUAAGCAAGGAAAUCCUCGUAAGCUAUGAAUGGGCAAGGGAAUAAAACCAUAGUUUAAAAUAGUCAGCUAUAGCCUCCGCUUUCUCCGGCUAUAGCGGAUCGAGGUGGGUGCAGCUAUUGCUCACGUGUGCAAUUCAUUGGCUAUAGCUCCAUCCAACAACCAAGUUUCUUAUAAAAAGAAUAAUUGUUUGGUCUCCCUGCACAACCUUUCCCAGCCUUUCAAGUGAGCAAGGAAAUCCUUUUAAGCUAUUGAAUUGGCAAGGGAAUAAAAUAUGAAAUAUGUGUCUACUUAAAAGGGAGCAAAUGCUAAACAGAAGAGAGGACGUGUGCUUGUGGGACACAGUGGAAGAAGAUAUGUAUGGUGGUUACAGGGCCCGGAUCUACUAUGUCAAACUUUUGCGCUCUCAUUAAAUCCGUGCAUCUCCCUGUAGGUUCAACUAGUCAAUCAACUGACUAGCAGGUGUUUCCAUGAACCAGUGUCAUACGAUGAUUGCAAUUAGAUAAUAAAUUCAGAUAACUAUUUUCUCCAAGGAACAUAAUUUAGAUAAUAAUUAUCGGGUGGCCAAAAAAUUGUACAGAUCUAGCUCUGUGAGAGGCCUUGCAACUUUCCAUCAAAACUACGUGUGCAUAUGAUUGUUGGGUGUUCUGAGGGCUGUGUAUACGUAUAUGAUUUAGCAUAUCGUAGUCUAUUACUUCUUCACAAACAUAUGUAUAUGGAACAUUUUGAGAAAUAUGUAAAUGGAAUAAUUUGGACAAAUAUCAAAUGUUUUGUGGUGUCUGUUUACUGUGCACACCCACAGAUCCACGAGAAUGCAUGUAGACGCUAACUGAAUAAAGAGUAACUGCUCUCCAUUAUCCUAAUAGCUAGAAUUAGUAGCAUGAGAAGACCCAGUGUCAUAGUACGUACCGUGCAUGUACUAUUUCUCCAUAUCAUUGCGUUGGCGCCCAACUCAUCCAGUGUGUCCUCCAUGUCAUAGGCAACAGAUUUGUACUUCUUGAGCCAGAGUCUCGCCAAUGCAUCCUCGGACUCCUGGGAGCGCUUCUCAGCAUUGUUAAGUGCAACCUGCAGGUUAAACAUUUUGUCCUUCAUCUCCUUGGCAUCAUUCUCAAAGUUCCAUAGCAGCUUGAUCCUCUCCCAGGCUUUGUCACCGAGCAUGCUGCCAACAUGCUGAAUCACGGCACUUGCGAUCAUGUCAGGUCCCCCACUCAUGGCUGCAGACUUGUGUUUUGCUUUUGUGUACUUGAAAGCUCCUAUAUGAAGAACAUACAACAUGUUAUGCAGAUAUAUGCUGCUGCCUGUCUUCUAGUCAAGCUUUUUGCAUCCACAGAUACCUGAAGUGCAGUGCAGGUUCAGAACUUGGAAUCCCCACCGAAAGCAAACUGCAUAAAUCCCUAGACUACACCGCAAGUCAUGGCCUUUGGUGAAAGCAAAGUAGGCGUGGUGCCUAUCCUGGAAAACAGAACGUAUGGACAAAGUUAAAGAUAUGAACUUGAAAUAUUUAACUCAAAGAUGACAGAUUAUGAUUUCUUUGCUAAUGAAUUCGGGAGGAGGGAGAGAUGGGGAGAAUGACGGAGCAAACACUGCACGAGACAUAAAUCAUAUGAGAUGGAUGGAUUUUUCGGCUUCUCGCCAUGAGCUUGCUACAAGAACAUAUAAGACUGAUAUUCACAAGGGAGAACACUCUUGUACUGAAUGAAUACUGAAGAGUGCCAUGCCUUGCUUCUAAAGAUGAAGAUGAUUUGUUAACAGUACACGGUUCACUUGUUCAAAGAUCAAUUUCGGCAACAGACGCGAGCGCCGCCUCCGAAGGGUUCCUGCCCCUGCCCGAGCCGCCGGACGACAAACGGCGUCCGCCUCCAGCGAAGCGGCCAAGGCCCUCCAUCCGCCUCAGCAACCGCCUCUCCACCGGCGGCAUCGCGCCACCGAGCCCCGCCCCCUCGACAUUCCCCAUCCGCCUGCAGACUGAUGAAGGGGGAGUACGCCACCAACCCGAGGUCCUACUCGGGCCCCAAGGAAGGAACGCGAGGUCGAGCUCGUCAGAAGCAUCCACCGCUGCGGUCGAUGGCGUCACUCCCACGCUCGCCGUCGCUCGGUUCGACCCCGCAGCGUCUGACGCCACCGGCGGCGAGCAGCAGCUGGGGCGGGUUUGGGUUUGGGCUUGGCAUCCGACUUGGGUUCAUGGGCUCAUGGCCUGUCUAACAUUAUUCUCCAACCCGAAGUCUGAUUACACGGCCACACUGCUCAAUUUGUCACCAACAACACAAGAGGACAAUGGGAUGGAAGUUCUUCAUGUUAGAUUGAUCUCUCUCCUAAUGGGCCCAACGGACCAAUUGGACCUUGAUCCGCGCCCGGAUCGGGGGCGCUCACCCUAACAUUGGGUGGUGGGCCCCUAUCACGCUGCGCUAUAUAAAGGAGGUGGGGGCCACGGCUCGGGGCACGAGGUUCGCCGCCGCCGCCAGCCACCCCACCCACAUCCCUAAUCCGAUCUAUAGGGGAGGCGCAGAAGUGACGGGAAGACCGCCACCGCCGCGCCCACGACUCUGCACCGGAAGUUCCAGCUCCUCAGCUGGCGAGGGUCUCUCUCUCUCUCUUAGCACUAGAACACCACAAGAACUGCACUGUUGAAACCGAAAUAAACCGAAGAUCUACUGCUAGUCGAUCCAAUAGAACUAAUAAUGGUAUCAGUUAGCCUAAACUAGAUCGUAGAUCUACUCGGGGAAAGUUUUAGACACCGAAAAGAGAUCCGUCUCGGAUCUGAGCAUCGGGUUUCGUUAUGAACCCUAACCCCAAUCGGGUGAACCACAAGAACAGAGAGGAGAUCCUUUUAGGACCUAAACCCUAAACGGGUAACAGAAAAGCGUAACAAAAAAAGAACACCAGCCCCUUAACCCUAACCCGGUUCGGAUCAGUGAAGAACAGAAGGAAAAGAAAAGAGAGUAACGAACCCAAGUUCGGAUAAAGAAUCGGCAAAACAAAAGAAAAGAAGGCGGCGACCGCGCCACUUCCGCCGCGGAUCCUCACCGGCGAACGGGCCGGGCGAUGCGCAGGUGCUCGGUUGGGUGCGGCGCAGAGGAGGAGAAAAAGAAAUUAGGGUUGCGGAGGAGCAGGCCAUCCGGUCGUUUUGAUCUUCCGAAAAGGAUGCGCGGCCGUCGGAUCAGGACGGACGCGAUUGUCCGGGCUGAAAACGGCCCAGGCGGGAAGGCCAAUUGCUGGCCCAGGCGGGAAGGCCAAUUGCUGGCCCAGGCCCAGGUUGUGGCCUGGAACGUGGGAGCACUAUCAGCGAACAAAAGGCAGGGCCGCAUUGUCAUUUGGGCCUGCACUGUUCAGGCGAAAGAAAAGUCUGGGCUGCAUUUUUUUGCGCCUUGCAUGCUGCGCUCCGGGCCAAACGCACCUCAGCCAGGUCGCUGGGCCAUCUUGUGCGUCCGGACGCGGGCCGGUUCUCACCGCUGAGCCGAAAGUCAUCAGCGAGCGGGCCGAGUGAGAAGACGGGCUCUGGGCCGUCUUUUUGCUGCCGGGCCGAAAAGAAAAAUAGCGCACAGUAACGUUUUGUUUUUUCUUUUUCUAUUUACAGAAGCAUUUAAUUGAUGUUUUUUUAGUUUUGAUCUCUAUUCAAAUUUGAACCAACGGGAUAAUUUGACAUAGAGAUUAAUAAAGUUUUACAGUGUUUUUUCUUCUGAAAAUAGAAUUAAUUGAAUGUUUCCGCUGCAAAAGUUUAAAUUAUUGCUCUGUUUAAAUUUAAUUUGAACCAACGAGAUAAUUAAAUUUACGAGCACGAUAAAGUUAAUAUUUUCUUAAAAAGUUGAUUAUGAUGAUGUUAUUUUAUGACCAACGUUGUUAAUAACUUAUCAUAAUUUAAAAGGUUAUAUGCAUUAUUUUCUAUUUUUGCCCAACGGUGAUGUAGAUAUAAUUGCAUAAACAGUUGUAUGUUUUAAUUUUAACCAACGUUGGAUUAACGCAUGCAAUUGUUGUCAUGGAUCUCACCUUACUGUGGUUUUCAGGAGGGUACUACUUGAUGGGGUGCAUUAAGGACAUUCCAACCCUUAGAGGUGAUAACUACAGUGAAUGGAGGAAAAAGAUCGACAUGGCUUUCGUCUGUGGUGAGGUUGACUGGGUAGUCACCACUCCGCAGCCCAAAAAGCCAACAGUGCCAGUACGAGAGGAUACUGAUGAUGACGCUGCAUGGGAGAAAAGGAAGAGGGAAUAUGUUCUGUUGGAGCUGUCAUAUUCCAUCGAGAAUAAAAAGUGGACCACUGCAAAUAAAAAGUGCAUGGCUGUGAUAAAGAACACGAUUGAGCCUGCCAUUUUGGGCUCGAUCGAAGAGUGUGACUCCGUUGGUGAGUACCUUGAAAAGAUAAAGACAUAUGCCACUCAGUUGAUAAAGCAGCUAGUAACAAAGAAGUACACUAGAGGUGGCAUUAGAGACCACAUUCUUAGGAUGAGCAACUUAGCAUCGAAGUUAAAGCCACUGAACAAGGAUUUGGAGCUUAAGCCUGCACUCCUUGUCCAUCUGGUUUUUGCUUCUCUGCCAAAGGAGUUUGACCACUUUGUAGUCACUAUAACAUGCAGCCUGAACAGUGGGACAUGGAAAAGACUGUAGCCAUGUGCGUGCAAGAGGAGGAGAAGAUUAGAUCCUCACAUGGUGGUUCUCUGAACUAUGUGAAGGAGAACAAGAAAAAGAAUUUCCAUGCUAACUCCUCCUUUAAGCCACGUGGAGAGGCCCCUACGCAGCAACAGCAUCAGCAAAAGCAUCUCACUGUGAACAAAGAUCAUUGCCUCCACUGCAAGAAGACGGGGCAUUACAAGAAAGAAUGCCCCGAUUGGUUAAAGAUGAUAAUGGCAAAGAAUGGUGAGAAUAUUAUCUCAUUUGUAAAUGAAUCCUUGUAUUUACAGUAUUCGAAAUCUACCUGGUAGAUUGACUCUGGUGCAACUGUUCAUGUUGCAAAUUCUUUACAGGGAUUCCGUUCGAUGAGGACUACGCAAAGAAGCGAAAGAUGCGUUGAAGUCGCAAAUGGAGUCCAAGUAGAAGUUGAAGCUAUUGGCGACGUCUCUCUAGAGCUAGUUGAUGGUUUUACGCUUCUGCUUGGAGAUAUACUUUAUGUUCCUUCAUUACACAGAAACUUAAUUAGCAUUUCUCAUUUGGAUAAAGAUGAUCAUGAAUGUAAUUUUGGAAAUGACAAGUGUGCCAUUUGGUUUAAUAAUGCAUGUGUUGGUGUUGCCAUCCUUCACAACGAGCUUUAUUUACUAUCGCUGCGCAAAAAAGUAAAUUAUGUGUGUGACGUGAAUGUAAAGGUAUCCUCGUCGGAGAAAGACACAAAGAAAAGAAAGAGAACUCACGAUGUGUCAUCGAAAUUAUGGCACUGUCGUUUAGGCCAUAUUUCGAGGGGGAGAAUAGAAAGACUUGUUAAGAAUGAAAUUCUUCCUCAAUUAGAGUUCUCAGACUUAGAACAAUGCGUAGAUUGCAUUAAAGGAAAGUACGUUAAGCAAAUCAAAAAAAGGUGCUAAACGUAGCACAGGAACUUUAGAGAUAAUCCACACUGAUAUUUGUGGACCAUUUCCUGUGAAAAGCGUGGAUGGUUAUGAUUCGUUCAUAACAUUCACAGACGAUUACUCCCAUCAUGGCUAUAUUUAUCCAAUAAAAGAAAGAUUGGAAGCGCUGGAUAAAUUUAAUUUGAACCAACGAGAUUAUUAAAUUUACAAGCACGAUGAAGUUAAUAUUUUCUUAAAAAGUUUAAAAUAUUUAAAGCUGAAGCUGAAAAUUAGCACGAUAAAAGAAUUAAAAUAGUAAGAUCCGACCAUGGGGGGAGUACUAUGGUCGGCAUACCCCAUAUGGACAAGUUCCUGAUCCUUUUGCAAGGUUUCUACAGAAAAAUGGCAUAGUAGCCCAGUAUUCAAUGCCGGACGAGCCUCAGCAAAAUGGAGUAGCUGAAAGGCGUAACCGUACACUGAUGGAUAUGGUGCGCAGCAUGAUGAGUUAUUCCACCUUGCCAUUGGAACUGUGGAUGGAGGUGUUAAAAACCGCCAUUCACAUUCUUAAUAGAGUGCCAAGUAAGUCAGUUCCCAAAACACCGUACGGACUAUGGACAUGAAGAGUUCCUUCACUGAACCACAUGCGUGUGUGGGGGAGCCCAGUUGAGGCCAAAGUGUUUUACCCAAAUAUUGGGAAGCUAGAUCCCAAAACAGUAAGUUGCCACUUCAUUGGCUAUCCUAAAAAAUCGAAAGGUUAUCGUUUCUACUGUCCAGACAGAUAUACAAAAUUUGUAGAAACGAGACACGCUGUUUUCUUAGAGGAUGAAUUGGUAAGGGGGAGCAUGGUGGCUCGAGAGAUUGAUCUUGAGGAGAAGCGGGUGUGUGCACCUACUCCAAUGAUUCAGGAGCCAUUCUUCUCACUACCUAUUGUUCCUACACCGACAGUUUCUGAUGUCGCGGUGCAAGCACUUGCAAUAGUUUCUGAAGUUGUAGUGCAAGCACCAGCUAUGAUUCCACCCUGGAAACGAUGAGUAAGAAUUUGGAACCUGUCCUUCAGGAGCCAACUGAACCCAUUGCUACACAUGCGGAAGAGUUACAGCAGCCACCUCUGUAUGAUGUGCCACAAGCUGAGGCACAAGAUGUGCCCGAAAAUGAGGGACCUAGAAGGUCCCAAAGAUUUAAAAGGUCAGCUAUUCCUGACAUUUAUAAAGUUUAUAACACAGAAGAAGUUCAUAUGGAAGGUGAUCCCAUUUCAUAUGAAGAAGCCAUGAGAAGCGCCCACUCAUCCAAGUGGCUAGAAGUCAUGGAAGGUGAGAUGAAAUCGAUGAGUUCCAACGAUGUUUGGGAACUUGAAAAGGUUCCUAGAGGAGCCAAAACAAUAGGUUGUAAAUGGGUCUACAAGACUAAACGCGACUCCAAAAGGAACGUAGAAAGGUUUAAGGCGCGACUCGUGGCAAAAGGUUUUACACAAAGAGAAGGGAUAAACUACAAUGAGACCUUUUCUCCUGUCUCAUGUAAAGAUUCCUUCAGAAUCAUAAUGGCAUUAGUGGCACAUUUCGAUUUAGAGUUACAUCAGAUGGAUGUAAAGACGGCAUUUCUAAAUGGUAAUUUAGAGGAAAAUGUCUACAUGAAACAACCCAACGGUUUUAUCGUGGAAGGCAAAGAGAAUAUGGGAUGUCGUCUAAAGAAAUCCAUUUAUGGAUUAAAGCAAGCCUCUAGACAGUGGUAUCUAAAGUUUAAUGAUACAAUUAAGAAAUUUGGGUUUAAAGAAAACAUAGAGCACAAUUGCGUCUAUGCAAAGUUCAAAAAUGGAAAAUACAUUUUCCUAAUCCUGUAUGUGGAUGAUAUCUUGCUUGCAAGCAGUGAUAUCAGUCUACUGCUGGGAACAAAGAAGUUUUUGUCCUCAAACUUUAAUAUGAAGGAUCUCGGUGAAGCAUCAUAUGUUUUAGGCAUAGAAAUUCACCGAGAUAGAAAGAAUGGGGUUUUGGGAUUAUUGCAAAAGGUAUAUUUAGAAAAGAUCCUAAAGAAGUACAAUAUGCAUGCGAGAAAAGCCACACCUGCUCCUAUAGUCAAGGGCGAUAGUUUUGGGAAUUUCCAAUGUCCCAAGAACCAAUACGAGCUCAAACAUAUGAAAGCGGUACCAUAUACUUCAGCUGUAGGAAGCUUAUAGUAUGCACUCGCCCUGACUUAGAUAUCAAGAUAAUCCAGGUUUAGAGGACUGGAAGAUGGUAAACAAAGCAUUGCGUUACGCGCAAGGCACAAAAGACCUCAUGCUAACAUACAGAAGAUCUGAUUCCCAAGAGAUAAAAGGGUAUUCAGAUGCGGACUUUGCGGGAGACAGAGAUGAUAGAAAAUCCACGUCUGGUUACGUGUUCACUCUCGCGGGGGGAGCUAUCUCGUGGAGAAGCUCCAAAUCGAAAGUAACUGCAUCAUCUACGAUGUAUGCAGAAUUUAUAGCAUGUCAUGAGGCCACGGGGCAGGCGAUAUGGUUAUAGAAAUUUGUACCCGGAUUGAAAGUGGUUGAUUGCAUUCAUAGAACACUAAAGAUGUAUUGCGACAAUGAGUCAACAGUAUUCUAUGGUCGCAACAAUAAAUCAAGCAUUGCUUCCAAAUCGAUUGAUAUAAAGUUUUAUGUUGUGAAAGACAAAAUUCAGGAUCACACUAUAAGUCUCGAGCAUAUAAGGACAAAGAAUAUGCUUGCGGAUCCGCUAACGAAAGGCUUACCACCCAAUAUGUUCAAGAAACACUUAGCCGGCAUGGGUUUAAGGGAAAGCCUAUGAUCCUGAAUAUUAUAAAGGGCCCAAAGGAAACAUAAUUGUUUCAAAAUAGAAAGGUGAGUUGUGGCUGUUGAUUCUAUCGGCGAUUGAGCUAUGACGACGAGGCAUGCUCUACACACUAAUCUACGAUGAAAUGAAUAAAAGCAAAAGUUUAAAGUUAAAAGUAUAUGAUGAGAUCAAGGGGGAGAAUGUUAGUGUCGGUGUUUUAGACCAGCAACCCGCCUAUGGGGUACCCUAGGUGGUUUUUUGUGCGGUAAGGGUCGUCGAGAAUGAAGGAAUCAAUGGUGACGCAAGGAACACGAUUUAGACAGGUUCGGGCCGCUAGAUCGCGUAAUACCCUACGUCCUGUGUGUUGGUUUGUAUUGAUCUUGGAUGAACCAGAGUUGUUUUGUUUGAGGGGGGUCCCUGCCCGCCCUUAUAUGCACGGGAGGGCAGGGUUACAAGUCUGAGUCCUAGUCGAGUACUACUACAGAGUUUUACUCGGUAUGGCCCGAGUAGUUUUCCAUACACAUACUUGGCUAGUCCGAGUGGGAUACGCCUAUCCCUUGUCGUGACCAUAUCCGAGUACGUCCCUUAGUGGGCCGUCCAGGGUCUACCCGUGGACCUGGGAUGCAUGCCCGACAAGCCCCCGAGUACUUUGUAGUCGUACGUCAUAGUCUCGAGUACUGUGGGCACUAUCCGAGUAGUUUGUCAUAGAGGUUGCAGUGUCCGAAGUGCUCGAGUACUGUCGCGUGGCUGGAAGGUACUCUUCUUGUUUCUUUGAGUUUGCUUAUGUUCCGAGCGUUUUUUAUAUAAUAGUGCAAUGUCAAUCGCACUCCAUAUGGAGUAGCCCCUGAGCCUUAGGUUGAGUCGAAGACUCAGGCUUAGGGUCAAUCCUGCUUUUUGACUGUUUUACCCUUGGAAAUCUGAAAAAGAAAAUUCUGACCAUCGGGUACGGUACCCGCAGCCCCCGAGCACUUAGGCGAUUUUUGUCGUUGAAGUGGUCAACAACCCGUUGAAAAGAGUAGUCGUUGGGUGUUUAAGGCAAUUAAUCUGCUUAAAAUCCAUCCGUUGCAUAACUGACGCGUAGAAUCCGGAGGUGGCGGAGAUAUAACUGGAGGGCCCCCUUUUGGUUAGGUUUACGCCCAACUGUAGCAGAUAUGUUUCUCUUCUUCCCCAACUUUUCCGUUCCUGUUUUCCUCUUCUAUCGCGAUUGCCAAGUGCCACCGCCGCCAUUGCUGCUCAUUGAGAGAAAUCCGAGGGUGAGUGCAUUUUGCUGAGGUUGAAAUCGGCAGAUGCGCACCAAGAAGAUGGGCAAGAAACCCGAGAAGAUCCAAGGCAAGGCUCCGGCGGUGGGCAAGGUGAGGGUCAAGAACGGGAAGGAGUGCUGCCAGUGCCCAAGGUGGGGCCGAUGAACCAGACUGCGCCGCCACCGCCUGGAGCAACGUGGCAGCAUUCGGUGAUGAAGGAGGAGGUCGUGCAGGCGCUAGUCGACGCCAAGCUUCUGCAGACAAAGGAGGUACUCGAAUGGCGCCCUACUUUUGCAAAUGCGUGGCAAUUUGAGGAACACCCCAGCGAGAUGGUGAUGCUUGCACACUUUGUGGAGAGGGGAUUGGCGGUGCCCACCUCCGACUUCUUCAGAGGUAUCCUCGAGUACUAUAAGUUUCAACUUAUUCACUUGAACCCCAAUGGUGUACUGCAUAUGUCAAUUUUUGUACACCUUUGCAAAGUUUACUUGGGAGUUCCUCCGAGCCUUGAGCUGUUUAGGAAGUUGUUUCAUUGUAAAACUCGGCCUAGUGCACUUAGGACGAAGGUCUUUGGAGGCGCCGGGUUCCAACUCAGGAACUCGGGCGCGUAUAUUGAGUACAAUUUGACUGACUCCCAUGGGGAGUGGAAGAAAAUGUGGUUCUAUAUUGGGAACCAUGAUCCUCGCUUGUCGGUGGUUACUGAUCACGCACCGAAGCAUGCAGAGAACUGGGUGAGCGAACCUGAAGAUACCCCAGAGCUUGACCAUUUGCUGCAGCAAAUUACCGAGUUGAAAGCACUUGGUCUCACCGGGAUUAACGUGGCGGCUAGUUUUCUGAAGAGAAGAGUUCAGCCGCUUCAGAAACGGACUCACUCAGGGAGUGACUACACAGGUUUUAAGGAUCCAUCGCGUAUGUCCGAUGAGGAUAUAUCUGACGAUAAUAUGGAGGCGCUGCUGGCCAAGUUCUUCAGGAACUACCAGGGAGUACCAGUAAUCCCUGCAGCUCUUCGGCAGUAUGAUGCGUGGUAUGAGCCAGAAGUGGUAUGUCCUUGCACUUGACUUGUACUUUUUGACCUUUGUGAUAUUUGUUUUAAAUAUCGACUUGUUUUUUGUAGUCCCGAGUUCUUGCCGACUACUUGGCGCAGUCGGGAGAAGAAGAAACUGUUGUUGAGGAGUCAGAGGAUGAGCCCUCUCCUCCUGUGAAGAAACACAGAGUAGUCCGCAAGAUAUCUACGGCUAAGUCUGCUUCAACUCCUGAGAAGUCUCAUGGUGCCAAGGUAUAUAGCCGUGUACUCACUUGUAGCUGAUAGACUUGAACUUGCAAUCUUGUGAUUACUUUGUCAUGUUCAAAAGGCUAUCGAUGCGGCACUUGGUGAUGAUGAGGCUGCUUCUGGAGAAGUAGUCGUGACCGACCCGAGCGUCGGUAUUGCGUCUGUUGAGAAGGUGCCAGAGGAGGUGCCGCCAACGGAUGCUGAAGUAGCCCCCGAGCUGACCGCACAGGCUCCGUCGGCUGCCGCGCUGUCGGUUACUGACCACGCAGUCUUGGGGUUGCCCGCCGGAGUAGCGGGUGUUGCGAAAAAAGUGUCGCCAGUAGUUGUUACUGGCUCUUUGUUGUCCAGUGUAAUUGCCAGUGGUAAGCUUUCUUUCGCGACUAGCUGUGUUAGUCUGAAUUGUUUUGUGGUCUUGACUCUGUGUUUCUCAGUCCUUGGCGAGAAGACAGUGCCAGCAGCUGUUCCUGCAGCGCCGAGUACUCGACCAACUGUUGCUGAGAAGAAACGUGUGCGAUUGCCGCCACGCUCAACUCGGUGAGUUUGUUUGUCCUUGGUGUGUAUCGUCAAGUCGUCUUGAAGUCAUAUAAUGACUGUGCUUUGAUGUAGGGAUGUGGAGGAAACUAUCCCUGUGGAGACAGGAAUAGAGUCGUAUCCCCCGACUACUUUAUCGGCUCCCUUGGAGGAUUUGAUUGUCGAGGAAGUAUUCGAAGUUAACGCUGGUCGUCUUGGAGCUACUAUGUCCAUGCUUCAAGAGGUCAUCCGCUCGGUGGAGGUCCCCUCCACUGCUUCGGGUUCUGGGAAUGCAUCUUUGUCGACAUCUACUAGCGGAGCUCUGGCUGUAGUGGGUGUGGAAAAAUCCAAAGAAUCAACUGCUCCAGGUAUGUAUUCGUAGUCUUGGUUUUGUAGUCGUGGCAUUCAGGUGACUGAUGAUAACUUUUUAGGUACUGCUUUGGGUGCAUCUCCUCAUCUUGCGAAGAGUACGUAAAGUCCAGUACUCAGGCUUUCGUCGGAGUAUGAUUUCCAGAGAGCUGUCGAUGUGUUUCGAAGCUUCCGGGUGUGUUGUCUUUGCUUUGUCGAACAUAUUGAGUAAUUUUAAGAUCUUUGACUGAUCGCAUUGUUGUGCACAUUCGGGCCCUGCAGGAACGAAGCCAUCAAUUGGAGCAGGAGUGUGCCCGACUUACAGAAUCCUUGAGGGUUCAUGAAGCUGUGGAGCGGUCAGAUCACGAAAUCUUGCAGCAGAAACUGGAGAGCCGCUACAAGUCUUUGAAUAAAAAGUAUCAAGGUGAGUACUUUGCAUCUUUCGAGUAUGUCCGACUGUAGUCGGUUGUUGUUUGAACUUGGCCGUGUUCGCAGAGCUCAAGAGGCAAGAGGCUACUACGAGUAGCCAACUCCUUAACUGGAGAAACGCGCACGACCGAGUGGCGGAUGAAGUUGAACGUCUUCGGGUCGCGCUGACAGAAGCACAGGCUGCUUGCAAGCAUCAGCGAGACAGGAAGACUCAGAAUGGGGUGAUACUUGCUAUGGCCAUGGUGGCAUGUAGAGAUCAUGUCCAGACCAUAGGAAGACUUCGGGGCGAACUCCAAGAGUUGUCUGUGGCAGCUCAAGAUCUGGUGAACGCCAUUGCCCCCGUGGAAGAGGACGUCGGACCUCAAUCACUAGUCGAGCAAUUGAAGGCUGCCCCGAGUAAGGUGGCAGGUCUCUACAAGGCUGUUUGCAAACAAGUCCUUGCUGUGGUAAAGUCAUACUAUCCAAGGGCAGAUUUGUCGGCGGCUGGUGACGGCGUGGCGCGCAACUGCACAGAAGAAGCUUAUGCGCAGUACCUCGAGGAGGUGGAGCCAAUCUGAAUUUGUCUCUCCAGAGGAGCCUUGAACUUUUAUAUACUCUUGUAGUUUUUUCGAGUACCCUGAACGAUACUUUGAGAAAUGAAUGCUUGUUCUCUUUUUGUUGCUUGAAGUAGCUGUCUUGACGUGUGCGAAGAGUAGUUCACUCCGCCUCGCCCAUCCCAAGGUCUCGGGGUCGGAUCUGCCCGACCCUUUGGGGAUGGAACUCCGCCUCGCCCGACCCUUGGUCCCAGGGUCGGAUGCAUCGAACCCUUAGAGGAUGGAACUCCGCCUCGCCCGACCCUUGGUCCUAGGGUCGGAUGCGCCCGACCCCUUGUCGUAAGGCUUCGUAUCGCCCGACCCUUGAGUAGAGGGUCGGCCUUUUCCAAGCCCCCUGAGUGUCGAGUAGUUCUGAGUGUCGAGUAGUCGUGAUGCUGUCGAGUACUCUGCUCUUUGGGGAUGCACGGGUGUACUGUACUCUUUUGUCCAUUGUAGCGUGAAUGCUUUCACGUGGGCAGAGUUAGAGGUCGUCAGACUCAUUGAUCACGGGCGCAUAGUAACUCCUGGGUGGGUGGUAGUUGCAGUGCUUGGCUAUAAAUAGAUCCCCCUGGAGGUCGACCUGAAUCAAGUUUUUGAGUAGCAAUGGAUUGCCUUCGGUUGUUGUUGUUUGAGUGUAGAGAGCCUUCAGAGAGUACACCGGUGCUAGAAGAUUCCUCGUAUAUUGAGGCCACCUUUCCUCCACAGACUCUAGCGCUCGUAGGGAUAGCCGCGAUGCUAGAAGAAUCCUCGUAGGAGGUUUCAUCGUGCGCCUCAUCUUGCAGCUCGUGAUCCAAUGGAGUACGCGCUGGAACUCGCAAGUGACAGGUGACGAGUGACGCGGUCUUUAUCCCGCUCUCUUAGAGGUGGAGGUGUGGCCGUAGAGUGGGUUGGCUCGGCAAGGCUAGCAAAAGAGUAGCCUUGGUUCCCUCUUGGCGCGGCGUGCGGGAUUCAUCGUUGCCGUUGUCAAGGCAGCGGCGGUGCAGGAGUUCCUAGCGUCGCCUUGGGUAGAGGACCUGGAUAUGGCUGCGUUUUGCGCAGCUUCCUUGCGUGUAGGCCCUCCCCAUUGUAGUUGGCAGAUUUGAGUGGCCUUGUGAUAUUGUAAAAGCCUGAGGCUUAAAUGCAGCCCGCCAGUAGGCAGUUGCUUGUAGUCCUUUUGUAUUUCAAGUACUUUUACUUGUAUGUAACUUGUUGAUGUAUCUUCGGUCCUGAGUAAAGAAUUACUCCACCGCUGAAACUUUGUACCGGGGCAGUAAUGCCUGUUGAGUUGAUAGUCUUGAGUCAAGAGUAGUAUAUCUUGUAGUUGGUAGUCGAGCUGUUGGCUCGAGUAGUUGACACGAGUUUUUGCUUUGAUGCAAUUACUCGGGUGCUGCUACGGGUAGUAGCGACAAAGGUGUUCUAUAUUCCAAGAGUUUGGUACUUGUUCUCCUGAGAGCUCUUGCAGUCUGUAAGAUCCGGGUCCCGUAACCUUUGAUGCGAUGUAAGGACCCUCCCAUGGUGAAUUGAGUUUAUGCAACCCUGUCGUGUCUUGUAUUCGCUUGAGGACCAUAUCGCCUAAGUUGAAAGAUCAUUCCUUGACGUUGCGGUCGUGGUAAUGCCUUAACCCAUCAAGGUACCUGGCAGAUUGCACUAGCGUUGCACAUCUUGCUUCUUCUAGACUGUCUAGAUCUGUUCGCCUUGUUUCUUCUACCAGUUUGUCAUCGUAUUGUUCAACUGAGGGUGAUUGCCACAUGAUGUCGGCGGGUAAUAUGGCUUCCGAGCCAUACACGAGGAAAUAGGGCGAGAGCCCAGUAGUCUUGCAUGGUUGGGUUCGUAGUCCCCACAGAGCAUUGGAUAACUCCUUGAGCCAUUUGCCGCCUUUGGUGUUGCCGACGUCGUGUAGUCUUUUCUUGAGGGCAUCGAGUAUCAUGCCAUUGGCACGCUCGACUUGUCCAUUGACUCGUGGGUGAGCGACCGAGACAUAGCGAACGUCGAUUCCGCUAUUCUCGCAGUAUUUCCAGAAGUCAUGAUUGUUGAAAUUUGACCCUAGGUCUGUGAUGAUCCUGUUGGGAAAGCCGUAAUGGUGUACGAUUUCAUCCAAGAAGUCGAGGACUCGGUCUGCUUUGGGGCAAGUGACUGGUUUGACCUCGAUCCACUUGGUGAAUUUGUCGAUUGCCACGAGUACUCGCUUGAAUCCUCCUGGCGUAGUUGGUAAUGGCCCUAUCAUGUCGAGCCUCCAGCAAGAGAACGACCAUGUUGGAGGUAUUGUGACUAGCUUGUAGGCCGGUACAUGCUGCUGUUUGGUAAAGAACUGACAACCUUUGCACUUUCGAACUAGUUGCUUAGCGUCGGCCAGAGCCAUUGGCCAGUAGAAACCUGCUCUGAAAGCCUUGCCAACUAUUUUUCGUGAAGAUGCGUGGUUGCCAGAGAUUCCCUUGUGAAUUUCUUCUAAGAUUUCUUGGCCGUCUUCACGGGUAACGCACUUCAUGAGUACCCCUGAGGAUGCACUUUUCCUGUAGAGCUUGUCUCCGACUAGAACGUAAUUUUUUACUCGCCGGGAGAUUUGUUCAGCCUGAUUUUUGUCGGAUGGUAGCUUAUGAUCUUUGAUGUAGUCGACGAAGGGUGUCCUCCAGUCGACUUCUAUCAUCAUGAUUUCUCGAGUGGCGUCAGUAGUCUGGACCACUGGCGGUGUAACUUGUUCAGGUAUGGACGACUUGUGCAGUUCGUGUACGAAAAUUUCUGCUGGAACCUCUGCACGAGUUGAGCCCAUUUUUGAUAAGACGUCGGCGGCUACGUUGUUGUCGCGGACGAUGUGAUGAAAUUCCAAGCCUGAGAACUUGUUUUCCAGUUUGCGGACUUCUUUGCAAUAAGCGUCCAUAUUAUCCUUGUUUCGGUCCCAUUCGUCAUUGACUUGGUUUAUAACGACUAGUGAGUCGCCGUACACCAAUAGUCUUUUGAUGCCGAGGGAGAUUGCAAGGCGAAGGCCGUGUAGCAGUGCUUUAUACUCGGCUUUGUUGUUUGAUACCUCCCAGAAGAUUUGCAGUACGUAUUUGAGCUGGUCUCCCUUUGGGGAGAUGAGGAGUACGCCUGCACCAGCUCCUUCAAGUUUGAGGGACCCGUCGAAAUACACCACCCAGUGCUCUGGCCGCUCGAUUGGUGUUGGUACUUGAUUUCAGUCCAUUCAGCCACAAAGUCGACCAAAGCUUGGGACUUGAUGGCUGUCCUUGGCUUGAAGUCCAAGGUUAGAGCUCCGAUUUCAACUGCCCAUUUGGAGAUUCUACCCGUGGCGUCUUUGUUAUGGAGAAUUUUGCCGAGCGGGAAGUCAGAGAUGACUGUGAUGUUGUGUUCUUGAAAAUAAUGGCGCAGUUUCUAGGAGGUGAGCAGGAUUGCGUAUAAAAGUUUUUGUAUCGGUGUAUACCGAGUUUUGGAGUCCGAGAGUACUUCGCUGACGAAGUACACAGGUCGUUGGACCUUGUAAGCGUGGCCCGGUUCAGACCGUUCGACUACUAUUGCCGUGCUGACGACAUGAGUAAUAGCUGAUAUGUAUAGGAGCAAGUCCUCGUUUGGAGAUGGAGCGGUGAGUACAGGAGGUUUUGACAGAAAGUCUUUGAGUUGCGUUAGUGCCUUGUCUGCCUCUUCUAUCGAUUUGAACUUGUCCUGGCGUUUGAGAAGCUUAAAGAAGGGUAGUCCCCGUUCUCCAAGUCUCGAGAUGAACCGAUUGAGAGCGGCUAUGUAGCCUGUGAGUUUCUGCUCAUCCUUGAUGCUAGCUGGUGCUUGCAUGUUAGUGAUGGCAGAUAUUUUUUCCGGGUUGGCCUCAAUGCCGCGAUGGCUAAUGAUGAACCUGAGUAACUUGCCGGAAGGUACUCCGAAGACGCACUUAGUAGGAUUGAGUUUCCAUCGGAAAGCUCGUAGACUAGAGAAAGUUUUCUCCAGAUCAGCGAUGAGUUCCUCCUGGUUUCUUGUUUUGAUGACUACGUCGUCGACAUAAGCUUUGACAUUGCGGUGAAGCUGCUUUUUGAAGCACAUCUGUAUAGCUCGUUGAUAGGUUGCUCCUGCAUUUUUUAGUCCGAAGGACAUUGUUUUGUAGCAGAAAGCUCCGAAAGGUGUGAUGAAAGCUGUUUUGGCUUGAUCUUCUUCCUUGAGGCUUAUCUGAUGAUAGCCGGAGUAGCAGUUGAGAAAGCAUAGUAAAGCGCACCCAGCGGUGGAGUCGACCACUUGGUCGAUCCUAGGUAGUCCGAAAGGAUCUUUUGGACAGUUCUUGUUGAGGUCGGUGUAGUCGACGCACAUUCUCCACUCGUUGUUUUUCUUACGAACGAGCACGGGGUUGGCGAGCCAGUCUGUGUGAAAGACUUCUUUGAUGAACCCUGCGGCGAGUAGCUUAGCUAGCUCUUUUUUGAUUGCUUCUUGUCUGUCUUGAGCGAAUCUGCGAAGUCGCUGCUGUUUUGGAGUAGCUUUGGGAACAACAUUAAGAGAGUGCUCGAUUAGUUCCUUGGGCACACCUGGCAUGUCAGCUGGUUUCCAAGCGAAGAUAUCGUGGUUAGCCCGAAGGAAGCUGACGAGCGCGGAUUCCUAUUUAGGAUCUAGCCCUGUUCCAAUCAGGGCUGUCUUGGAGGAGUCGCCCGUCUGGAGAUCGACUGGCUUGAAGUCUUGCUCGCUUGCGGGUUUCACCUUUGUAGGCCCCGACUUAUUUUCUGGGAUCUCGAGUUCAUUUGGACGGAGCUUCUUUGAAGCUGUGAAGACUUGUUGCAUGGGGCUAGGUGCUUGAGAAGUCGCAGCAAUUUCCACGACUUCGGUGUCGCAUUCGUAGGAUCGCCGUAGAUCUCCUCGUAGCGUUAGUUCUCCCUUGGGGCCUGGCAUUUUGAGUACCAAGUAAACGUAGUGUGGUAUGGCCAUGAACUUAGCGAGUGCUGGCCUUCCGAGUAUGGCGUGGUAAGAUGUCUCGAAGUCGGCGACUUCAAAUCUGAUGUACUUGGUACGGUAGUGUUCCUUAGUUCCAAAGGUAACUGGGAGGACGACUUGUCCUAGUGAUAUAGCUGCGUUUCCAGGCACGAUGCCGUAGAAGGGUGAAUCUGUUGGAGUAAGCAUUUCUGUAACGUCGAGGCACAUCUUCCUCAAUGUUUUGGCGAAAAUGACGUUGAGUCCACUUCCGCCAUCGAUGAGUACUUUGGUUAGCUUUGAGCCUACCACAACAGGAUCAAGUACUAGGGGGAACCGGCCUGGUUCUGAGAACUUGGUCCAUUGGUCCUUUCUGCUGAAGGAUAUGGGCACUUCUGACCACUUUAGCGGUGUUGGAUCUGUUGGUUCGAUGGCCAUGAUCUCCUUGAGUACGAGUUUGUUGGCUCGCUUGGACGCGGUGCCUGGGAUUCCGCCAAAGAUGACGUUGACUGUUUUUGAGGCGGUCUGGAAGUCGCCUUCUUCUUCUUCUUCGUUGUGGGCUUUGUUCUUGCCCUUAUCCUUUUUCUUGGUGUACUCUUCAGGGGGUGGUGGUGCGGGUAAGUCUUGCAUUACUCGGCGCAUACUGUAGCAAUCUAUUGCCGAGUGUUUGCUAGUCGGGUGCCAUGGGCACUACUUUUUGAGUAGUUCGGUGAAGGUCGGCCCUUCAUCGUUUUUGCGGGAUCCCUUUUUCCUGGAAUUGGUCAUGGCAGCAACAGUGUUGUCGGGCUUCCUUUUGCGAUUGUGAUUGCUCGAGAAGUUGUUUCGAGUAUCAUUGUGUUGAGUUCUAUCCUAGUCAUUGUUGUUGUUGUCGCGUCCAUGGUUGUGGUGGGAGCCGAACCGUUCUCGCUCUUUGUCUUCUUCAUCUGCCCACUGUUGUACCAUAACUUUAAGGUCUUUGACAUUAGCCGGUCGUCGUCGACCGAAGUCUUGGUAUGUUCGUCGAUCGUAGAGUCCGUUCUGGAAGCACUCGAUGACGUCUGUCUCUGAAAUGUCAACUAUGGUUACCUUCUUUUCGAAGAACCGUCGUAAAUAGUCCCGUAAGGUUUCGCCUUCUUUUUGCUUAAUUUGACUUAAGUCGAUCUUGUUGCCUGGUCUAGCCAUGGAGCCGGCGUAGUUGUUGGUGAAAGCUUUUGUCAAAUCUGCCUAAGAGUCAAUUGACUUGGGUUUGAGUGAUUCUAGCCACGUCAAUGGUGCAGGUUCCAUGCAUAUAGGGAAGUGGAUGACUUUGGUGUCAUUAUUGCCUCCGGCUGCCUGAACUGCCAAGGAGUAGCAUCGUAGCCAUUGGAUAGGGUCUUGCUUACCAUCGUACUUGGUAAUUCCUGUUGGCUUGAACUUGUCAGGUAGUCUUGUCUUCAUUACCCUAUUAGUGAAAGCAGGAAAGUGGUUGUAGUUGUCGACUUCUCGCUCACGCCGACUAUUGAGGAUUUCUCGUAGGUCACUGAAGUUUGACACUUCGUGGUUCUUCCGAGUAGGGCGAAUACUUUUUACCGAGUUGGUGCAGCUGGCCUAUCCAACAUCCUUAUGGCGUGUUGGGGUCUUGUGUUUGCUUGGGCCCCUGCUGUGUUGCCGAGGCUGGUUGACGACUUCAUUGUCGUUUCUUGGAGCAUCGUUGUUGUUGGCUGCAGCACCUCUGCUACCUUCUUGGUGAGCUGUGAUGCGAGGAACAGACGGAAUUGGUGAUUCUUUGUUGAGUAGCUUGUAGGCUUGCUCCGCGAGUUGUGUGAUUAGUCCGUUCCCGCACUGCACGAGCUGAGCUGUGGCUUCGUUGUCCCUGUCUUGAGGCAUCAACGUUAUUAAAAGAUUGAUAGAAGCGAUUGCCGCAAGUGGAGUAUUGUGCUCUUGAGCCUGAACUGCGUCGAAAGCUCUUUCAAUGUUUGUGAUGGGAAUAUUUGUAGCCAUCGGCUGCCGUCGCUCGGCUCGAGUAGCAUUGCGCAUCCUUCUUUGGUUCCUUUGAUCGGAGGUUUCAUUUUGUGGGGCGUCAGCUGUAGACUCGUCUUUUGAGAUGUUGUCGAGCUGUGCUAAUCGCCUAGGUGUUCUGUUCUGGCUAGUACCCGGGUUGUUAUUUUGAGUAAUAAUAAGGACUUCCCUGUCUGGGUAGUAGCUUCCGGAGCUUGAUGUUGCAAUCUCUGUGGAACUUUCCUCGCGAUUGGAAGUGAGUGGGACACCCUCUUGAUAUGGGAGGUUGUCUAUAUAAGCGACAAGGCGCGAGUUGUAGUCGCGGGCAAGAAGAGAUGGUCUCAAACCUGGCCAAUGUACGAAUCUACCUUGUGACGUUGAAGUUAUUACCAGUCCUUGGGCUAGACCAGAUAAUGGUAUCUCUGGGGGAUAAACCGAGUCGGAGUCGUCGUCUUCGUCGUGCCCGAGUUCGAGUUGAAUUCGAGUAAGAAAACCCUGGUGGACUUCGGCUGCAUUGCGGAGUCCGUGCGGAAACUGUUUUGGAGUCGAAGCCGGCUUGGGAAGUGACUGGGACCGACUAGUCCGAACCGAAGUCGAGUCCGACACGUAGUCGAACUCGAAGUUGUCGACUUUGAAAUCUUAGUUUUUUCUGACCAAACCCUCCGAUUUCUUCUCCGUUGAUGAUUUGGCACCAGAACGAACCAGCGCCAUCGGCGAUGCAGAGCCAGGAUCCAAAAACGAAGGUGGCGCUUGCUUCGAUAGUGAAGACGGGCUUGAUGAUGACCGUUGCCAUUGAGUUCGCGCUGAGAAACUCGACGAGUUCCCCUACCUGGCGCGCCAGCUGUUGGUAUUUUAGACCGGCAACCCGCCUAUGGGGUACCCUAGGUGGUUUUUGUGCGGUAAGGGUCGUCGAGAAUCAAGGAAUCAAUGGUGACGCAAGGAACACGAUUUAGACAGGUUCGGGCCGCUAGAUCGCGUAAUACCCUACGUCCUGUGUGUUGGUUUGUAUUGAUCUUGGAUGAGCCAGAGUUGUUCUAUUUGAGGGGUGUCCCUGCCCGCCCUUAUAUGCACGGGAGGGCAGGGUUACAAGUCUGAGUCCUAGUCGAGUACUACUACAGAGUUCUACUCGGUAUGGCCCGAGUAGUUUUCCAUACACAUACUUGACUAGUCCGAGUGGGAUACGCCUAUCCCUUAUCCUAACCAUAUCCGAGUACGUCCCUUAGUGGGCCGUCCAGGGUCUACUCGUGGGCCUGGGAUGCAUGCCCGACAUUUAGAUUGAUCUCUCUCCUAAUGGGCCCAACGGCCCAAUAGGACCUUGAUCCGCGCCCUGAUCGGGGGUGCUCACCCUAACAUUGGGUGGUGGGCCCCUGUCGUUCUGCGCUAUAUAAAGGAGGUGGGGGCCACGGCUCGGGGCACGAGGUUCGCUGCCGUCGCCAGCCACCCCGCUGUGGUGGAAACGCUCGGAUUAACUUAACUAAAGCAUGGUUAAGUCGUCUGACACGCGAUCACAUGCUUUAAUCAAGUUAAUUCGGCAGUCCGUCGGAUUUCACCCGAUAGAACCACUAUACAGGACCGGAUUAGCAGAGCUCACACAAAGGUGAGUGGUUCCAGAGAAUACAACAGACCAUCCAACAAUUAAACAAGUUCAAUAAUUUAUUACAACACUGUUUUGAAAAUCAGAGUUUCACAGAGUGUUUAAACAGUGGAAAAAGAUAAACCAUCGGAAGCUAGCGCCGGGGGUCGGAUGUCACUGAUGAGGCCGAUCAGGACAUCACUGAUCCCUCUCCUCGCCGUCCGAGGAGGGAUGCCACUCGACCGUCCACCCAGGAGGAAGCUGGGGAGGCCAAGUGCCACAAGCGGUAAACUCGGGAGCUUCAACAUCACCUGAAAGAUGUGCCACAACCAAGGCUGAGCUGCUAAGCUCAACAAAACUUAACCAACCGGUGGGAAACUACUCCACCAACUUCUAGACAUGCAAGGCUCUUUGGCUAAGGGGUUUGUUUUGCCAAAAGCGACUACAGUAGGUCCUUAUUUUCAAUAUUUUAGCUCAGAUUCUAAGUUCAUUAACUAGUCUAUAUUAGCAACUUAUGCUAAACAAACAUAGUUUUCAAACAACUUAAUGAACAAGCAUCAAGGUUCAUAUCAUCAUCAUCCAUCUUUACUCAGUGUAGCAUAGUGAUCAAGUAGUCUCAAUCUGUGACAGGCAGACGAAUCGAUCCGAAUUUCUUAACCGUGCAUGGCGAACCUAAUCUCACGACAUCCGUGCACCACAGAGGGUCGCUUCCCUUGUCAGUCGUCCCCAUCAAUCCCCUGACCCGUGUCAGGCCCACUUCUCUUGGUACAAGGCUCCACGAACCCGACCUCUGCCGUUCUGUGACCACACUUGUCACCACAUGCGGCCGCAAGGGAAAAAUCUCUGUUCCAGAGAUAGUGGAUCGAACCGCUCACGUCUUGGUUCAAUCAAGUACUAGGUUUCCCCAUCCCAUACUAGGUAUGAUAUUAGUACUUUCAAACACUUGAUGACGAACACUAUAACAUCUCGACCUUAGUCCAAUUUCAAGUAGACAGACGGGGCAAUCCACCAACCACCAAAAUAGUUCACAAGGCCCUGCCCCGUCCACCGUCCUUAUAGUGGUGCCAAAGGAGAACAAGCAACUCCUAUAAAUCGCGAGUGACAGGGAAUCACUCGACUUUUACCGAGUCCUGUUAAGCACUGCAACUACUCGGCCUAUCAUGCUAGUGUUCAGAUCAAGGGAACUAAGUCAUGCAUCUAUGGUUUCAAACAACUCCUGUAACGUAAAUGCACAUACAUACAAAUGAAGGCAUGCACAAGUUUCGAAAGACUGGGUUAUGCUUCGGGACUUACCUUCGAGAGGCGUGGAAGCGAACUGAUCUUCGGCGCUCUCAGGUUCAGCUCCUGCAGGCGGCAGCUCGGCUACAACUCCGUCUUCUGGCAUCGGGUGCAGCUCGUACGUGCCAUCAGCGAGGUUUAGCUCUACACGAAAUGCAAAUGCAAGGGUCAACAUUUAGGUGGUUAUUUCAACAACACUUGCAAGAUUUAGCUAGAAACUGUAGGAAAACUACAGGAAAGGUGUGAAAUCCCAUUUUAUUGGAUUCUACUCAGAAAGAGGAUUCCAACCCAAGUGAUUUCACAUUUUUCUGAGUUUUCCUCGAUUUAAGAUGAAUUUCCCAAGCUUGGUCGAUUCAGACAAGAAUAAAGAGUCGGACCGGGAAAAACUUACGAUCUGACCCUUAGACCUACGGAAUAACUGUACCGGAGUCCUCAGACUUAACACAGAGAAGUCUCUGAAAUUUUACACAGAUACCCUUGGUUCAAAGAAAAGGAUACAGUCGAGCCCUCGGGUGAGGCGGACAAGGGUUGGGCGAAGCAGAUAGGGGUCGGGCGAAACGGAAAGGGGUCGGGCGAAAUGGACAGGGGUCGGCAGCUUACCUUUGGGCCUACCGACGAAGGCUUGGGGUCGGGGAGAAGCAAACUCAGGCGGAACGUCGAAGGGCGUUUAGGGUUCUGGCGGUGGCGAGGUCCGGCGGUGUUCUGGCGGCGGCAGUGCUUCUUGUGGACAACAAGUAAGCUCUAGCUCAGCGCGGAUGAAGCAAGUGGCUGGUGGGUUUGGAAAGGCGGGUGCUGAGCGGAGAGGGGGAGUUCCUCAAAGAGCUUAUGCGGCAGCGCUUGAGCACGAAACAGAGGAAGAUGAGGCAAAGGCAACGAUGGCGAAGGGAACUUCGGUAGAGGCUCUGGUACCCCUUUUAUAGCUGCGCGGAAGAGAAGGAGUUCGGGCAGUGUGAGGAUAAGGUCGAAGAGGAUAGAGUGCUCUGCCGUGGCGGCGAUUGGUCGACGCCUCCAUUGACCGGUGAAGCGGAGCUCCGGGGACAGGGUCUUACGGUAUUGGGCACUGAAGACAGCGCUAUGCAGGCGCGGUUUUGCCGGACGGAAGGAUUUGGCGAGGUCGAGCGCGUGUAUGGUAGCGUCAGGUGCCGGAUUGGCUGCGGUGGCUCUGUAUCGGCGGACAGGAGGGAGAGAGAGACAGGCGAGGGCGCUGCAGGCGAGGUGACAAGGCAAGCAGCGACGCUAGCAGGCGCGGGACUAGCGGCUUUGCCGUGGCACGCUACUGGCGAGGCGAGGGAAAUGAGUCGUCACUGCCGGCGCAGUGGUUGGCGAAGACGGUAUCGUCGCGGGGCGCGCGCGUGGGCAGCGCGACUGAGGAACGACGGAAAAGCCAGAAGACGUUGGGGCGCGCGGCCGGGGAUCUUGGUGAGGAGAUGUGCGCGGGAGGCGAGGCGGACUGGCGCGGCAGCGGCCAAUCUUCGGUCGCAGCGGCAGCAGGACGCCUGGCACGGCCGGCGAGAUCUCGGGCGGGACGAGACGGGGUGGAGAGUUUGUAGGGCGCUUCUGCGCGUGAUUGGGAAGGAGGCGCAUUGAUCCAUCUUGUCGCGGCCGGCGACUGGGCGAGGCGACGCUCGUCGGUGAGGUUACGCCACGCGGAAGAGAGGCUCUGAGACAGGGCGCACGCUCACUCUGGCGCGCUUGGCCCGAGAGAACCGUGGGAUCCUUUUUCUGGGUCCAUCUUCCGGUCUCUAGCUCUCCCAAUUUCUGAACUGCACCACCUUGACUCCCUUAACAAGAGUUGUAGAACUCAGGCCAAGGCCCAACUCUUGUAAUUGGACCGAGUUCAAAAACGCAAUGGAUUUGGGGAUCCAAAGCUCCAAAGUUUGGAGGAACACUGGUUUCGGGACUUAGAGACAAACAGCGGGUUGCUGAGUUUCAGGGGUCGGGGCUGAUUUGAACUGUAGUUUUGGGGAUCUUCGGAGGUGAAUUGGACCAAGGUCCAACUAACAAAAUUGUAGCAGGGACUUCGUUCUCCAACUUCCAUAAAGGAAUUUUCUGGACGUUCAGCUCAACUUACCAAAGAUAAGUCCGCCCUAAGGCGUGAGAUCAGACUAAUUUUUCAGACUUAGCCAUAAUGGCUAAAGGAGUUUUAAUUGACCAGAUCAGGAAACUUGUCUUAAGAUUAAGCUCGGCUGAUCUAAACCUAAGUCGUUACACCCACCUACAUCCCUAAUCCGAUCUAUAGGGGAGGCGCAGAAGCGACGGGAAGACCGCCACCGCUGCGCCCACGACUCUGCACUUCGCGUCGCUGCCUAGCGCAGAUUCUCACCAUGGCCGGAAGUUCCAGCUCCUCAGCUGGCGAGGGUAUCUCUCUCUCUCUUAGCACUAGAACACCACAAGAACUCCACUGUUGAAACCGAAAUAACCCGAAGAUCUACUGCUAGUCGAUCCAAUAGAACUAACACUUCACACUGCACCUGAUUGAGAAAAGGUCCGAAUCCUUCUUCUCCCUCCUCUAGUCUUCGGGCUGCUGGGAUGCUAGCUUUGGCUUUUACAUCAGUGGGCCAGGCGCCAACUGGUGGACGGCGAGCCGGCAGUGCCGUAGUGGUGAUAGGCGGGAAGAUCCCGGACUCCCGGAGAGCUGGGAUUCAGCAUGCCGUUGGACUUUCAGUUCGCGAUCUGCUAAUUUGGGUAGCCUCUGAGGUAGUAGUAGUACCAGCUAGCGCACUAUCAGUGGUAGUACCAGCGUGUCUAGAGUUCUCCCACUUGUACUUCCCCUUCCGGUGCUUUGUGCAGAUCACUGAUAGUGCUCCAGCAGCAUAAUCUUGAGCCAGCCUUGGUGCUGCGGUAAAAGAGGUGGCGUGAAAUGUCAGUUAAAAUAUGCGGUAUGAAAUAAUGUUUCUAAACCAAGACACUCUACUGUUUUAUACAGGCAAAAUAGCUAUUUUGAUCCCAGGAUCCCUCAACUUCUAAAAUGGUCAAUCUAAUUUCUCAAUUUUUGUUUUGGAUCAAACAUGAGACUUCAUAUUAGCUUAAAAUUAAUGCGAGAAGUCAUGUUUGCCCUUGGCCUCUUCUUCCCCUCCUCAAUUAUCCAAAAUAAGUAUGAGCAUAUAUAUAUGUUUACCGAGAGAGUACGAAUAUAUACCUGAAGCAUGUAUACACUACCAUGAGUACUUUAAAUUAUGUGUACUAAGUUGUGUAUAUCAUGAAAGAGUAUCAGCACCUACAUUUUGCGUAUCAAAAUUUAAUCCGUGUGAACACAUGCAUGAUUUUAAAGAGUACGAGAACAUGUAAAACUAUAUUUUAUAUCAGUUAAAAAAUAUAUUGAUGUGUGUAUGUAUCAAGGGAGUAUGAGCAUAUACAUGUUUGAUCUUCAUGAGUCAAGGGUAAAAUAGACUUUUCACAUUAGUCUCAUACUAAGAUAUAUAGCACCACAUCAGCAAAAUGAUGAGUUUGACCUGAAAACGGAAGUUAAGGGAGUAAAUUGACCUAUCUGAAAGUUGAGGGGCAAACUUAACCUUUCGUGUAAAAUUCAGGGAGUAAAAUGAAGAAUGAGUUUGACCUAAACGGGUAAAAUUCAGGGAGUAAAAUGAAGAAUGGGUUUGACCUAAACGGAAGUUAAAGUUGAGGGAUGAACUUGCAAAAGUUUAGGGACUAAAAUGUCUAUUUUGCCUUUUAUAUACAGUUGUUAGUUCCCAGACCAUUUUGCCUCGACAAGCAACACUAGCCAAGUCCAAGAUGGGCGAGGCGGUCAAGCUCAUCGGCUCCGGCAGCAGCCCCUUCGUGCACCGCGCCGCUGUGGCGCUGCGCCUCAAAGGCGUGCCCUACGAGUUCAUCCGCGAGGACAUGGGCAACAAGAGCGAUCUGCUUCUCCAGCACAACCCCGUCCACAAGAAGGUGCCCGUGCUCCUCCACGGCGGCCGCGCCGUGUGCGAGUCCCUCAUCAUCGUCGAGUACGUCGACGAGGCCUUCCCGGGGCCGCCGCUCCUCCCCGCCGACCCCUACGACCGCGCCGCCGCCCACUUCUGGGCGCACUUCCUCGACGACAAGUGCCUCAAGUCGCUGUGGCCGGCGCUGUGGACGGAGGGCGAGGCGCAGGCGGCGUCAAUGGCGGUGGCGAGGGAGAACCUGGCGAUACUUGAGGAGCAGCUCAGGGGGAAGAAGAAGAAGAGGUUCUUCGGCGGCGAUUCCAUCGGCCUCGUGGACAUAGCCGGGGCCGGGUUGUUCGCGCACUGGCUCGGCGUGCUCGAGGAGGUCGCCGGGGUGCGUGUCCUGAGCGACGAGGAGCACCCGGCCCUGCGCCGCUGGGCGAACGAGUACCUCGCCGACGAAGCCGUCAAGGAGUGCCUGCCGGACAGGGACCAGCUUGUGGCCCACUUCUCCGCGAACAGGGACAAGUGCAUCUCGAUAGCCAAAUCCAUGCUGCCGCCGAAUUGAUGGAGUUGCUUGAAACGAUGAUCGGCGUUGUAUUAUCGUGACGGUGACAUCUAUUGCUGUUUCUUAAGUGUCAGAAAUAAAAGGCGACAGUGUUGCGAAUUUGUUCUCUUACAGAGUGUUGUUUCCUAGCAGCUUCGUCCCUCCCGUCUUCCAUCAUUGGUCAAUUGACUCUCCUUUGUAGCAGUAUUCUAGUAGAAGCCAUCAUUAGGAGAAGCCAUCGGCCUCGCGGACAUAGCCGCCGGCGGCCUGCUGGCGCACUGGCUUGGUGUGCUCGAGGAGGUCGCUGGAGUGCGUGUCCUCAACGAUGAGGAGGAAUACCCGGCUCUGCGCCGGUGGGCGGCGGAGUACAGCUCCAGUGAAGCGGUGAAGGAGUGCCUGCCGGACAGGGCCCGGCUUCUCUCCUACUUCGGCGCCAUCAGGGAGAAGUGCGUCUUGGUGGCCAACUCGACGCUGCCCAAAUAAACAUUGAGCUCAUCAUCAUCGUCAUCUAGUAAUGCUUUAGCAUGUUUGGUUGCCCGUCACCGUCACCGCCUGCCACCUCCCCACCCCACCCUGCCGGCCACCUCCUCUCGCCUCCCCCGCCGCCGCCCCGCCGUGCUAGAUCUGCUAUGGGGAGAGAAGAGAGGAAGGAGAGAGGAGUGGAAGUCCUCUCUGUGCCGCUCUGUGCUGUGCCGCUGUGCGCUGUGCUUAAAAAAAAAUCUUAAAUCCUCUCGCGGGAGGGGCUCGAACCGGUAGUCGAGGUCGGGUUCCAUCCGCAUCCGGCGCUGCGCUGGAGGGUCGCCGAGGACUUCCGAUUUUAGAAUCAAUACUAAUGCUGCUAAUAUUAGUAUCAAGUUCAAAAAUAAUCGGUACUAAAGCUAAGGACGAGAGAUGGUGGCCGGUUCGUCAAAUGUCUCGUCGAUGUACUCAAGGAUGACGAGGGACUCGCAGAUGGUGCGAUCGCCAUGGAGGAGCACAGGAACCUUCUCAUGGAUGGGGUUGUGCGUGGGGAGCAGCUCGCUCUUGUUCUCCAGGUCUUCGAGGAUGAGCUCGUAAGGCACGCCUUAUGGAAGAAUAUAACUCGAUAAUAGACAUUGUUUCUCGUAAAAAGAUAGUUCCAAACUAUAUGAGAUCGAGUACUUAGAAGUCCGAAAUAAUUAAUUUAGAUUAAAAAUGAUCAAAAAAAAAUACCGCCGCCUUGCUCGGCGCGGUGCCGUGAGUCCAUGCGCCGCACGGUCGUCCCAAGGGGAACUGGGAAGGGGCUCUCCAGUCGUCCGGCGUCCGUGAUGCCGCGCGCCCGCGCCAAAAAGCCUCGCCCGAGGGAGCGGAUGGCCGGAGCGGCGCGCGCCGUCCGCGAGACCGCGACGAGACAAAGACGAAUAGACGAUCAGAAUCAGACGACGAAGCGGAAGGAAUGAGAACGGCGAUUCGCAUUCGGCCUCAGCGACGCGAGCACUCGCGUGUCGUCACGUGACUCGCGUCACGUUCGCGUAUACGCGGUAGGUCUACACUCUAAAGCCCGGCCCAUGCAUGCAGCUUGCAGACUUGAGACGAGCUGCCAUCAUAUCCCGUGGGGUCCGGAGCCUGGGCCCCUCCCUCCCAUGGGCCGUAGCCCGUAGGCCAUCGCAUCCGAUGCACCCUUGCAGGGCCGGCACUGCAUCGGGCAGAUAAAAAUUAAUUGCUGGAAAACCCCCCCUAGUCUUAGCGAAAUUCGAAAGGAAACAGUGCCUUUCUCAGUCGUACAAUGCUAUAGGCGACACGAUGAUUGACCGUCAUUUUCAUCUCCGGAGGUCGAACACAAUUAUUUGGGCAUCUGAACAUGGAAGAGGAAAAAAAUGGCAAGAAGCUCAAUCUUCCGGGACAAGCAGCUGGCAGCCAUGAAAUCCUAAGGAUAUGUACAACCCACAGACAGUUUGUCGUCUGGAUGAUGAUGUCACACCAUAUAAAGACACCUAAAUAGACAGCGUGUACAAUCCAUUAUUUGUUUGAUUGUCUGUUAAGUCUUUAAUGCCCGUAUGUAGCCACGAUCAAUCGUAAAUAAGACUUGUGUAUACUAUUGUAAAUAAGACUUGUGUAUACUAUUGUGUUGCUUGUUGAAAAAAGAAAGAUCAAGCAUAAAUAAGAUGCUUUUGGAAACAUAAAUAUAAAAGAUAUUCUAAUAUAUUUAUAUUAAUGUAAUAGAACAAAAUCCUAGAGUAGGCCUCUACGAUAGCGUGCACCACGUCCUGCAUAUGUACACAGCAGUCAUUCUUCAGUCCAUGUUCAGAGUUACCUCAUUUUAGACCUAUCGAACAUCUUCCACAUUGUUUAGAAUCAGCAAAAGGCUGUACUUAACAAAUAAAUAAGUUAGGUGGAUACUUGCCUUUGGGAGGGCAUCCAUAACAGCUGCAGGAAUAGGCAUAUGGCAUAGGACUUGUUCAUUGAUGGAUUUUGCAGCUUUGAGGAUCUGAUGAACAAGCUUAGCCUGAAAUUGUUGAGAACUCAUGCUGAAAUUAUUCAGCAACUAGAUCCAUGAGUUUUGAGUGAUUACCAAGGUGCAUCCCAAGCUGCUAAACGUCCAAAUCCAACGCAAGAGGGAUCAUUGCCGGCUGCAUCCCACCAAGCUAGGGACGUUGAAGGGGGAACGUGCGGUGGCGGCGCGUCCCUGCUAGCAGCAGCGGUGCAGCCUGGCGCGGCGUGCGGUGGCGGCACCUCGCGCCUGGCCAGCAGCCUCAGCGCGGCCAUGGCGCACGAGAGGGGGCCGAUUCGGCACCUGCGGAGCUCGAAUGGACAGCGGCGGAGCUCGAGUCGGCGCCUGCGUCGAUUCAGCGCCUGCGAAGGUUGAAUCGGCGGUGGAGGAGCUCCUCCUGGCGGCCCGCGUGAGCACGCGAGCAGCUUGCUCGAUGCAGGAGAGCAGCCUAGCGGCCAGCUGGGCAAGCUUGCCGGGCAAAGUGGCGAGGUGAGCAAUACCAAGUGGCUUGCCUUGCUCGGCGUGGGACAACGGAUCCACGUCGCCAUCAAUUUGACCUUCGCGCGGGGAAAGCGAGGACGCGGGGAGAGGAGGUGGAGAUGGAUUUGGCGCGCAAAAAUCCUGCGCGCGCCCAAAUCAAUUGCUGUCCGCACGGGAUUCAAGCGUGCGGUGUUCCUCGUCAUCUUUUCCCGCCUCGGAGCAUGGACGCGGCCGCCGUCACACGAGGCUGAGAGGAGGUUGUUUUUGCAAAAAUACCGGCUCGCAGACGGCUCCUAGACACCCGUUGUAUCGUGCCCUAAAAGCUCAAUCUUCCGGGACAAGCAGGUGGCUGCAACAAGUUAAAACCCUUUAAUCACAGUGCCACCGACAGCCGUGUGUUCAUCCCUAAGGGCACUUUUAACAGUUUAGACGGCUGCCGUCUGUAAGUCAUGUAUAGACAGUGAAACCGACAGCUUGUACAAUGAUGUAUUUUUAAGUUGUCUGCAAGUUAUUUAAUUCAUUCAAAUCAAGGUGAUUAGGUAUAAAUAUGAUCUAUGUAUGCCAUUUUGUUGCUUGUUCACUCAAUACAAUGCAUGCUACCCCAUAUUAUGGACACAUAAAUUUGACAUAGAAGCAUAAAUAUAAUAUAUAUUUGUAAUAAUUGAUCUUUGCAAUACAUAAUAUGGUUAGAUAAUUCCAUGUGCUCUUUCUGUGAGGUGAAUGUAGCUCUCUCUUUUUCCAGAGCUAAAGCACUUUCUUCCCUUUCACUUCUAUCUUUAUCAGUAGCAUUCACAUUUUGAGUACCACCAGCACCUCCUUGGCACUCACCACCUGUGCAAGGGCUACAAGUUUCAAUUUUAUCAGUAAAUUUGGCAAUUGCAGGUCCAUACUAAACAUGAGGCCUAGGACAAGCUACUCUACCUGAAAUUGGAAGUAGGAUCUUCGAGGUUACUCGGUGGAUCCGGAAGUAUAAAACAGUGCCCAGUUGCCAGUUGGAGAGCAGGAGAUAUUUCUGAUAUAGCUCUCAGUGAAUUACAACAUGAAGAAUUAGCAUCUGCUUCCUUGAAAGUUUUUUCACCUGGAUUCAUGGUAUCCUCUUUAGCAGAAACGCUUUGGUCAGCUAAUUUUGUUCCUGUUUCUGAAGAAUUAGCAUCUGCUUUCUUGAAAGUUUUUUCAUCAGUGCUCUCUUUUCCUUCUGCAUUGUCAUCUACAUCCAUUUCCUCAGGCACAUCAAAAGUGCCAGUUUGGCAAAUCCUGUGUAAUCUUCUGAGGUGUUUCACUGAAUUCUUUACCAUCUAGAAAGGAAUCGAAAAUUGGCAUUUGGAGGAAGUAUAGCGUGCACUGUUCUUUUGUUUUUGUAACAACAUGCUCAGCAAUCUCAUCCCAUUCUUUUCCUUUAAAAAUUUCUAACGCUUCCAAAAGAAGCAAUGUCUCCUGGUCAGUCCAGUUAGAACCACCUGAGCCCGGAACCUCUGCAUAUUCCAUAAGGACGAAAUCAGCAUUUGACAUGCCUUCGUCAAACUUUCCUACAUGUGAAUCUCGGCAAGAAGAGUCACGGCUCACCUCUUCCCCUCUGUUCGCCCGCCGGCGGCGCGUCAUCUUUAGUCCCCGGUCGGGAGCAGCCCCAGAUGAUGUGGAGCCGCAGCGACGACGCGUAGGCGCUACUCUUCGGCAGCGGCGCAAGCUCGUGUCGAUGUGGAGAUGGAGAGAAGGGAGUCGCGGAUCUGGAGGCCGGAGGGGAGCUCGCGACGGGGGAUUUCGAUCUGCUCUCGCAGGAGGGGGCCUCGCCUCCGAUGACGCCGCGGAGAUGGAGGAGGCGUGGCGCGGCGGCAGCCCAGCUAUCCGGCCUCACCUCCCGUCGGCGUCUCGCGCGGAGGGAGGAGGUGUGGCGCGACGGCGGCCCAGCUAUCCGGCCUCACCUCCCAUCGGUGUCCCGCGCAGAGGGAGGGAAGUGGUUGGAAUCGGUUGGAGCAGCGCGGGCUGAUUUUGCACUCGAUCCGGAGGUGCGCCGAUGGAUCGUACAACGGCGCCUGGAGGUCGUCGCCAGGUGUUAGAGCAUGAGCACGCGCCGUCGUCUCGCGAGAUGACGGCGCGCCCGUCGCUUGGCUCAAAUGAGGACGUUUUUGCAAAAACGCCAGCUCGCAGACGGCUCAUAGUCGCCCGUUGUACGUGCCCUAAUGAGUAUCGAACGAGCCAUUACCAUUAGCAGUCAACACUCAACAGUUUAGUUUCCCUAGGAAGGAUAGCGCUUCUUCGGCGGCGACGACUCCAUCGGCCUCGUCGACAUCGCCGCCAGCAACGUGGCUCACUGGCUCGGGGUCAUGGAGGAGGUCGGCGGGGUGACGCCGCUGCUCACGGACGAGGAGUACCCCGCGCUGUGCCAGUGGGCGAAGCGCUACGCCGGCGACGAGACCGUGAAGCAGUGCCUGCCCAAGAGGGACGAGCUCUUUGCCAUGUACUCUGGGUUCAAGGAGAUGUUCCAGGCCAUGGCGACGUCGCAAAAUCAGUGACAUGUUUCAGUGCCAAAAAAAAGUGUGCUGCGGACGUGUUAGUAACGAUCAAGAUGUUCUUCGAUUGGAAUAAGAAGGCGAUUAUCAGUUAUCAUCAUAGUCGUUUUCUUUAGCACGACUCUUCUCCUGCUCAGAGCAGUGGCUCGUUUCGCAGAGCUUCAGUUGUGACUUUUCCAGUGAAAUGAUGUUUUAGCUACAACUUGUCUGAUUAGAAAAAUAUUUGGUAAAACAGCUUCUUCUAACGGCGUAACAUAGAUAAAAAUAAUGAAAUAUCUAUAAUACAUUUAUCCUUUUUAUUUUUCUUUUUUCUUCCAAUUUUUUCUCAUCUCUUUAUUCCCCUUCACUUUUUUCUUUUUUUAUUUCUCCUCUUAUCUUCUCCUCCUAUUCUUUUCCCUAUCAUCACCUUCCUACUAGCGCCGCUUCGCUCCCUGCCAGCGCCGCCGGUGUCCUCCGUCCCCGCGCGCCCACUCCACCGCCUUCCAAACCCCACGACUGCACCGUCCCACCUUUGGGCGUCGCGCCGCUCCAACCUCCUGCAUCCGUGCCGCCACCAUCCGGCCUCCCCGCGCCCACUCUGACGGCGUCCUCCGGCCUCCUCACGCAAGCUGGGGACUUUUAGCAUCCGCACCCAGGGGCAAGCUGGAACUUUGCCCCGCACGGAGGAGAUGAAGCCGCAAGGAGCUGGUAUUUUAGGCUUCUCCUCCCUCUCCUAGCUCCUCUCGGAGGGAAUUGCGGGACUCCUCCCAUGGAGCCGUUUCGUGAGCGGUUGUUUGGCACGACUUUUUGAGAAGUCGGUUGAGAAGCCGCUCAAGAAGCCUUGCCAAAUGGGGCCUAGGGAUGAUCAACACUGGUGUUUGACUAUUUGUGUUUCUUCUCCGCCGUUAGAUCUGCGUGUACUAUGAUCAGGCCCGUUCCUUUCUUUUGACCAGUCAACGACGCCCGCCACAACCUUCUUCCCCGUUCGCUCGCAGUCGGAGACUCAGGAGAUUUAAUUAUUUAACACUUUUACAAAGGCCACACCUUCAUUUACCAGUUUUAGAAUAGCUUCUACACUUUUGCCACCGCCUAACAUUUGAGCCAACAUAUUUGCCACUUUAUCCUACGUGGCACGACACCUCCUCCCUCCACCGCGGAUCAGGCAUGGGAAAUGACCAUCGUACCCUCACUUAUCCGUUACCCUCCUCCCAGAUCCGACGCCUGGGAUGUGCCAGUCGAUGGUCGGCGACCUGCUGGUAGUUGCCGCCGAUGAAGCCGUCGCCGUAGAUGAGGCCGGCGAGGCCACCACCGAUGAGCGGGCCGACCCAGUAGACCCAGUUGCCGGCGAAGUUGCCAGCGGCGACGGCGGGGCCGAAGGAGCGGGCGGGGUUCAUGGAGCCGCCGCUGAAGGGGCCGGCGGCAAGGAUGUUGGCACCGACGAUGAAGCCGAUGGCGAUGGGGGCGAUGGUGCCGAGGGAGCCCUUCUUGGGGUCGGCGGCGGUGGCGUACACGGUGUACAGGAGCGCGAAGGUGAUGAUGAUCUCGAACACCACGCCCUCCAGCUCGCUGAUGCCGGCGACGCCGUGGGUCGGGAUGGCCUUGCCGUGGGUCACGAACUUGAGGAGCAAGCAGGCCACGGAGGUGCCGAGCAGCAGGGCGACCCAGUAGAAGAGGCCGGUGAGGAUGGUGAUGUGGCCGCCGACGGCGAGGCCGAAGGUCACGGCGGGGUUGAGGUGGCCGACGGAGAUGUUGGCGGCGACGGAGACGCCGACGAAGAGGGCCAGCGCGUGGGCGAACGCGAUCGCCACCAGGCCGGAAGCGUCGAGCGCGCCGCCAUGGCUCAGCUGCCCUGCACGUACACGCACGGCAAGUAAUCGAUUGAUCAGCACGCGGAGUCAAAGUGCCUCGAGAUCGACGGAACAGCAGACCUCACCGUAGGUGAUGGCGGAACCGACGCCGGCGAAGGCGAAGAGGAGGGUGGCGAUGAACUCGGCCACGUAGGCCAUCUCUCUUCAUUUUCUCAUUGCCUGUGCUGCACCACUAUGUUUAGAGUCGGAUCCUCACUUGUUAGCUCCAGAUAACUAAUGCUGAUCAAAUGCACUAUGGAUUCAAGAUAAAAUGCAUGAAUUCAUCGACACAGUUAACAGAUACAACCAAAAAGAUACUCUAUGUAAUGUAAGUUCAUGCAGACCAGGAUGAAAGCACAGCCGAAAUGAAACUGUACCUUAUGCUUUACACAGGCAAGAACAUUUCGCCGACACUUUCAGCUUAUGUGGUGGUGGUGCCACGUCGGACCAGCGUGGACGUCCGUGGCGCCACUCCCGGUGUCAGGCGGUGCCAUGCUGAGUACAGUGACGCCGUGCACAACGUCACGGUCAUGCGGCCCCACGUGUUCCUCCCGUUCCCCUCGGUAGUUCGACGAGGCCAUGAACAGGUUCUCCUUGCGCUCUGCAAAACAUGGCGUCAUUACCAAAUAGCACUACCUGGCUGAGCUGAUUAGUCAUUCGUGAACUGAACUCACAUGCAAGGGAAACAUGACCGGCGUGACGAGCGUGCCGUCGCUGGGCGGCGGUUGAGCCUUCGAGCUGUUCUACAACGGUUCUUGAAGUGGCCGGUCAGCUAAGACCCUGGAGAGAGCAACCUGAUGGUGGCCCGUCUGAUUAAUUUCAUGAAUGGAAGGGCGUACUUGUUAGCUUCAGAUGAAAUGCUCAGGAUCAAAUAGAUGAAUUCAUCACCGAAGUUACAUUAAUUGAUACGGCCGGAAAAAAAAACUCUUAACCAAUUUCAUGCAGGCAACGAUAUAAUUAAAGAGACUACGAUCAAGAGAAAAAUCUUGGUAAACCGUACCUACCUGAUGCUUUACACAGGCAACGACGUUUGGACGAAGAUACCCGGCUCUCCUUGUAUACAUAAUGCAUACGGAAUUUGGACAGCUAACCAUCAUUUCAAACAAAAUACAAUGAGCUGCUGAAAAGCUAACUAUGAUUUGAGAGGCCGGUAGUAUAUGGUAGAUCCUUGACAGGCCUCAAGGUAGCCUGCCAAAAAUUGAAAAUAAAAAAUGACUCGAGACUUUAGAAAUUCAUAUUUAGUCGCGAUCGACUAAUUUGUCCGCACAACCGUUAGCCAAGUCACAGAAAUUAAAGAAAAGCAUGCACUGUAAGUUAUCUGGCAGAAAAGAAAACAACAUCCAUAAGGAGGUUCUCACCAUGCUAGAUGAGGUGUGAAGCUUCUGUUACUCGAAUUCAACUUCUGGAAUAUGAGCGAUCUUGUGCUUGUCCUCUCCUUGGCACUUCUCUGACAGUGCUGGGCAGUCCGUGAUCCGCAGUUUCUUUAACUCAGUAAGACGCUGUAUGCUUUCUGGCAGUGAAGAUAGCAUUGGGCAUGAGACGAUUUCAAUUUCUCUCAAAGAAGUUAAAUCUCCCAGCCAUUCUGGCAGUGUCUCCAAGUCAUCACAUUCCUCUACGUUGAAUUUCCGGAGGGAGAUGAAGCAUCGGAUAACCUCUGGCAAUGUUGUAAGACCCGUGAGGGACAAAAGAACAAGGUUCUCGAUAGAACAGAGAUACCGGGCCCUAUGCCACGCUUCAGGAGAAGGAGAUGUGCCCAUUAUACAAAGGACAUAUGGAGAAGUGAUAGAUGAGAGGUUCCCAAACCCAUGUUCCGGCAAAACGUGAUCGCUAUUCUCUACCGCCCAGGUCACGCUCCUUGGGGGAUAAGGCAGGAAUUUCAACUUUGGGCAAUCAAAAGCAAGCAGCAGAUGUAAAUUAGGGAUUAAGAACUCUUCAUCUUCAUUAGACGUUCUCGUUGUCCACCACCCUUCCAAGUUGUCCAUUCCGUUCAAAAGAAUCAUUCUUAGCUUCCAGCAACUUCCGUAGUCCCCAUAAAAUUCCCUCCCGACACUUUUGAGAUUGGGCAUUCUACCCAACCACAAUGCUCUCAAAUUUGGCAGGCGCCCAAGUGGAGGGAGGUGGCUGCACCCUUUCAGAUUGAGAAGAACGAUGGUGGAAAGAUGAGGUAGGUAGGAAGGAAGCUCCAGCAUCCACCUAGAGAAGUCUAUGCUCAUGUAACCAUUAAGAUGAAGGUGUCGGAGAUUUCUAGGAGGCACAAGCUUCUCCAGCACCGAUUUGUCAACCGAUGCAUCUGCAUGCUCCACCAUACUACUUUCACCAUGUCCCCAUGAAAGCCACAGACUCGUAAGAUUUGAGCUGUUCAACAGUUUUGCCUGGUCUGCCCCUUCCAGAUUCUUGACAUUCUGAAGAUCUUUGAUCUGCAGCUCAAGGCAGGGUGUCUUCUCGAGCUCUAAAAUUUGACUCCAUAGAUCACCACGUCCAUCAAGCUCACAUGACCUUUUCAGGUUUAGUUGUUCCCUAAGUUUAUCAACUUUAGAUUCUAUAAGGUCUGCAAAAAAUGCUGUUUCGACAUGUACAAGUGUAGACAUGUUAAAAAUGCUAUCCGGCAAGCCAUCAAGGAAAAGGCAGCCUUCCAGAUCCAAACUCUGGAGUCGUAAAACACCAAUAGAAGCAGGCAGAUGUUUAAGUUUUACACAGAACGACAAAUUUAGAUGCUUUAACAUCAUGAGUUUGCAUAGAGACUCGGGCAACAUUUGAACCUUGGAACAGCUUGUCAUGUUCAGAUACUCAAGCUUAGAAAGUUGAUCAAUACAAUCUGGGACCUUUUCAAGAUUAUGGCAAUCUGACAGCUCAAGAUGUGUUAGAUCAUGAAGUUGACAGCAAGAUUCUGGUAGUGAGUGGAGUUUGUAGCAAUCGGAUAGGUUCAAAAACUGAAGCUUAUGCAACUUGCCAAAGGAUUCUGGAAGGGUAGGCAGUUCAUGGCAGCUUGCCAAGUUUAAGAAGAGCAAAGCACUGAGGUUACCGAAAGAGGUGGGAAGUUCAUGAAGGUUGACACAUCCUGAUAGGUCAAAGUAUUGCAGCUUUUGGAGGCAACCAACGUUUGUGGGCAGUGCCUUCAGAGAAGUGUUUGAAAGUAUCAAGGUUUGCAAGUUUAGGAGACGGUUCAAGGAUUUAGGAAAGUUUGGGAUAGGAAGGUUGGAAGCAUCAAGAUACCUUAAUAGCUUUAGUUUACAAACAGAACCCGGUAGCUCUGACACAUGGCAUCCACUCAAAUCCAAAACUCUCAGAUAUAAUGCUUGUGAGAAUGCUUGCUUAGGAAGAUGCAGUUUAUUGCAUUCUCUGAAAUGCAUGGCCCUAACCUUUGGUGGCAAAGACUUAAAGGCUGAUGAAGACUCCUCAUGAUUCAUCAAUAGCUGAUAGUGACAGUUCCGAUUGUCUGUUCUAUUGUUGUGCAUCAUUGUUUUUACAUAUGAAAAUUCUUCACUGGCAACAUAUCUUGUGAGAUCAUGUACCACAUCAUGCAUAUGGAAUUUCAGUGUGGGUUUGAACCUCCCGGAAUCAAGUACCUUGAAACACAAGGAAAUUAAAAGAAUCAUUAAUUAGAAGAUUAGAAUAUGAUAGUAGUCAGAGACUGGAUCAAAGGUUUCAGCUGGGCUUUGUUAUGGAUAAAUUAAAAAACUGUCAGUAAGACAACUAAUUGUUACAGAUGCGGAGGUUCAUAUCACAAUUAUAUAUACCCUAAAGAGAUUUUUUGUAUUAUUUGUGGAAUUGACACUUAUAUAUACUGUAUCAAUAAAAGGUGUGUUUGGCCAACAACCAAAAUCUGCUGCCAUUUGCUGCUCAUGGUUUAUGUAUGUGCUUUUCAGGCUCAAACAGUUAAAUGGGUGUAGUUACCAUGAAGAAAGAUGAAUUAAAGUCCACACAGGUGGAAACAGGCUUUGGAGAACCUAGUCCUUGCAUGUUGGUAUGGAAAGAAAGAGAACAGUAAGGGCAAUAUGAGUGAAGAUAUUCGGAUUCUGAUCUGCAAGCUAAUUGGUGCUUUGGUUCAAGUUCUCAAGUGGCCUUCAGCUACAACAGUGAAUCCAAGAUUACUGUUUCAGACAGUGGAAACAUAACUAAUCAGUUUUGCAAGGUUAGUUCAACUGUUGGUUCAUUGAAGAAGUAUAUACAGAAACAUUGAGGGCCCAUAGUAUAAUUAAAAUAAAAAAGGAAAUUAUGUAUAGCAAAAAUUUCUUGCAUCUUCAGCUUCAUGCAUACAUUUGUGUUUCAUAGUUUUUGAAUGAGGAAGCAGUUGCUGAAGCUGGUGGAUAUAAUAGGAGACAGACGUGCUAAAAAAGGGUGUCCUUCCUUGUUUUGAACAUAGUUUGUAGCACUGGCUUUGUUAACGAAAUUGAGGAACACCCUUUUUCAUAAACAAAAUCAGUACAUACAAUUAUACGAGGAAUGUAGCCAUAUUCACCUCAGGGGUAGUUGAAUGAGUAAGGAAGGACAUUCCCAAGAAAUCAUUAAUACAGUCCUGACCAACUUGGUGGAGUGAGAUCCCAUGAUCACCUUGAAUGAAUCCAAGAGCAACCCAUUGUUGAAUCAAGCUGUCAUGAUCUAUGUUAUGGCUCUUAGGAAAGACAGAGCAAUACAUGAAACAUAGUUUCUGGUGUGAGGGCAUGUGGUAAUAACUUAGCAUCAAGCCACUCAUAAUCCCAUAAUCAUCAUCUUUGAUCUCAAGAAUAUUACUGUCUUUAAGUGCAAUCCAUGCUUCUUUUGUGCAAUGCUUAUUCAUCACGUAACCAAGAGCUUUAGCAACUAGCGGUACUCCACCACAUUUCUUAGCAAUUUCUUCUCCAAUCUUGAUAAGGUCGACAUCCAGCCUAUUUCCUUGCAAUGAAGGAUUCAUAAUAGAAAAACAAUCAUCACUUGAUAAGGCCUCCAAUCUAGUUGGUGGAACGGUAUGAAAUUCUGAAGGUCGGAUGAUAGAUAAUGCUUUAGCAACUUGAUCACUUCGGGUGGUUACUAUUAUCUUGCUCCCUUCCUUACCGUACUGUAACAUUUUCAUCAAUUUCUCCAAACUAUCUCCCCUUUUCUCCCAUAGGUCAUCCAAGACAAUUAAAAAAAUCUUGCCUGAAAGUAUGCGUUGAAGGCAAGAAUUUAGAUUCUGUAGUCUAGUAUCAUUUGCUUGGAGGCUACCUUCAACCUGAGAGAUAAUAGCAGCUACAAUCUUGUUCACAUCAAACUCCAUCGAGACAUGGACCCAUGCUUUGACCUCAAACAUAUUUGUCUCCUUAGCAACAAAAACAGAUUUUGCAAGUGUUGUCUUACCCAUACCACCAAGUCCAACAAUGGGAAUGAUGGAUAUUUUUGCUGGAUCAUCAUUCUGCAAUGCCAAAUUUAGUAUCCUGGUUUUUUCACUUUCUCUUCCUAUCAUCUCAAUUUUAUCACUAGAAACCACAGAUGUUUCUUGGUUAUUCAUGUUCACAGGUCUUGUAUCUGCUAGUUGCAGAAAAUUGAACUUUCUAUGUUCCUCUGCUAUUUUAUCUAGCUCUUCCCUGAUUUUUCUCAUCUUGUUUGACAGGGUGAAGCGUGUGAUUAGUGGAUGGAAUGACAUAAACACCAAUUUAACCUGCAGUAUGUAGUUUGUUACACCAUCAGAAUUUUUUUUAAGUGGGUAUGUGCUGAUUUUAUAUAUUGUUUAAGUAUUAACCGUGCAAUUUUCAAAGCAAAUAUCGUAAUUUCAUAAAAUCAUAAAUUAAUAUUGAGCAUUGACUUUGUGUGAGAAGGCAUAUUGUAAUCUACCCUUAAAAUAGCAAAAAUGUAAUUAUAAAAAAUAGCAAAAAUGAAAGCUAAACGAAUAAAGAAGCACACUUCAUAAACGUUGCAUUAUCUACGCGAAUGGAUAAAGGAUUGCUAAAUGUAAUCGUAUGUAUGCGGCUAGGAAACACAAACCUGUGUCUUAAAAAAAUUUCCAUCACAAGCUUUUUUUACUUCAAAUUCACACCAUUCGAAGAAUUUCAAUUCAAAAUGCUACACAAAAUAUAUAAAAUGUCUAAGCAUAAUUUGUGAAUCUAUAUUAUGUCUUUUAUCUUUUAUGCUUAAGGAUUGACAGACUAAAUCAUGUAAUUAGACAUUUCGAAAGUGAUUUGCAAUAUUGCAUUCAACAUUAUGAUAAGAAUUAGUUCUCAAAAUUGUGCUUGAGACCUGAUGUCAAGAUCAAACAUGAUCACUUUAUUAAAACAUGAUCACUUUAACAUGAUCAAAAUAUGUUUGAUCACUUUAUGAUCAAACAUGAUCACUUUAUGAUCACUUUAUUAAAACGUGAUCACUUUAUUACAAAUUCAUUAAACUUUCAGAUAUGGGAACAAUCUACCAUAAACAAUUUUAAUUAUUAGUCUAUAUGUUAUAAAAAUACAUUUAAGCACUGCAGUUGCAUAACAAAUCAAUAAACACUCAUAAGUUGUAUUUUUAAACCAAGGUACACAGUUGCACUGUCUGCUAUAGCAAUUCCAUCUGUUUACAUAUGCUAAAUAAAAGCUAAAAUGUAGUAGAAUUUUUCACACACAAAAAAAGAAAAUAGCAUGCCAUCGCUGAGCUUUGGUUACUGCUUAGGAAUGCCCUUUCUAUGCGAGGUAGAUGAAGCGAUUUAUUUAAACCUGCACGGUUAAGGAAUAUUAAAUCUAAAAGAAGAAAGUUGUAUACCAUACUAUACAACUUAUUUCAGAUCUAGCCACACUAUCUCAGGACAGUUUGAUAAGUUGACUUGAAAUUAAACAGUGAUGUAAUACUCCAACAAAGAUGUACUCAAACUUAUUAGUUUUUCAUGUUGAUAUGUUGAUGAAAUUUCAAUGUUGCAUGAUUGCAGCAAGCUAAAGUUUCAUGAUAGAUUUUCACCAGUUUCUACCACAACAUAUUUAAGACUAAGGGGGAAAUGAAAAAAUAGGAUAUAGAUGUAUAAUGUGGCACACAAAAUAUUCCUAGAGAGGUAUACUAGCAAUUUUAUCAAAUGAAAUAAGCUCUCUAUAUACAUUCAGAGCUCAGAAUAUAGGUACUACCGGGCAUGUGCUACUCCUCCAUAUCUUUGUAUUUGCCUCCAGCUCAUCAAUCAUGUCUUCAAUGUUGUAGGCAGCAGAUUUGAGCUUCUUGAGCCAAAGCCGGACCGAUUCACUACCUUGGGAGCGUUUCUCAGCAUCCCCCGUCACGGCCUUCACAGUGAUCAAGGUGCCCUUCAUCUCCUCAAAAUCAUCACUGAACCUCUGCAGAAGCUCCACCCUUUCCCAAGCAGCCUGACCAAGCAUGCCAGCCACACGCUGCACAACAGCUCCAGCAAUCAUCUCAGCACCCCCACUCAUGACUAUAGGCCUUGAUCUCUCGCGCACAGGUAUUAUUUGUGCUGCGCCCAAGAUAGCUUAUAGAUAGAACAAAGAUGAUGUGCUCUGCUAUUUAUACUGCUUUCUUUCUUAGCCUGAAGCUUUUGCACCUGAUACCUGGAGUGUAGUGUAGUUGAGUGCUGGGGAUAUCUACUGAAGGCAAAAUGCAUAUAUUCUGAUGCAGAGUUGCACCUUGCAAGCCUCGACCUUUGAGGAAAGGUAUAUGCAUGAUGGCCUCUCAGGAAAGGAACAUAUUAGGUGAAAAAAAGUAAAGAGAAGAACCUCAGAUUAAUUCGAAGAUGUACAAUGAAAAAUGGUAGUUAACAUGAUGCUGAGACCUUCACCUUUUAGUUCAGGAAUGAUGUGGUCCUUCGUCUCUGUGAAGAAAUGAACCUUCGUAAGAAAAGCAUUCUGCAGUUUGCAUUCUUUGAGUAGGACAUACAAAUUGCAGAGAACAAAUGCUGCAUAGCAAGUGCAGGACAUUCAUAAGCCAAGUAUUCUAUCCAGGCUAUGUGAGAAUGCAGGAGCAAAUAGUGGAAUUUGUCAGUUGUCACCUCUUUCUAGUUAAAACCUAUCCAUAAUUCUGAUCGGAGAGUUGAUAUGGACGGCUCGAUUCCAAGGGAUGCGUGAACACCCGACUUCCCGCCCGCCAAUUUGUCACCGCAGCGAUCCGCGUCGAUCUGGGCCGUACAAGCCCGAUCCAGCGUCCUGGACAGGCGUCCACCCCCCUAGGGUCCGAUUGGGAGGCGCCAAUGGCGAUGCCUCCGCCGCCAGCUCACCUGGGGCCAAGAUGGUUCGAAGCGUGUCCCAGCUUCCCAGGGAGAAGUUUCCGUCGACUACCUUCAUCUUCAUCUAGGUGGCCGGCGCCGUCGCGGCGGCGCGGUUUGACGCAGGGCGCGGGCGGGCGGCGAGCCGGCGAGACUGCGAGCCGUGCAGCGCGUGCUGGUGCCUGGUACGGGUGGAGCUAGGUUCUCGCCCAGAUGGACGGGUUCCAUGGUACGGCAGCACGAGCGCCGCCGGAUGCCAAGAUCUCACCACCUAUGGUGUGCUUUGGGGACGGCCGGCCGGAUUGCGCGCGGCGCGCGGCGAUCGGCCUUCGGGAUUAGCAAUCCCUCCGGGAGAAGAACGCGAAAGGAGGAGGUGAAUCCGUGAAUACCGGGCGUAGAACGGCCGUAGGUUCAUUGGAAGCCGGACGGCGUGUUGCCUACCGGCGACAUGCCUGUCGUCUGCCGACGUCCGUUUCCGCUUUGUCUGCUCCCGUUGGCGCUCCAGAUUCCGCUGGCGGCGCCUGCGUGUUUACCGUUGCAGGUGCGAGGCAUCACCCAAUAAAACCAGCAAACAAUACUACCCUCAAACUUGUCAACGUAGGAAUCUACGUUACUUAGGGCAAGUACAUUGCUACACGUCAACGGUCUCAUAGGUCGUCUCAUGCAGUGCCACGUAGGAUUUUUGAUGAUGUGGAGGAGAGAGAGCGAGGAGAGAGAAAGAGGUCGUUGCUUCAUGAAACAACCACCUCAUGAGCUAAAUUGUAGGACUACGAGACAACUUAACAACCAUUGUACGAGUUAUUGUUGCCAUGCAACUCAUAAUAUUUUAUUUUUCUUAUGCACAAAUUAAGAAAUUAUAUACCACUACCAGACAACUUAUAGGAUAACCCAUUGUACAGGUUGCCUGUUAAAUCAUCUCAAGAUUACGUGUCAAUGCAUGAGACCGCCUAUUAGACGACACCAAUGUACUUGCUCUUAGAUUAACUAAAACAGGAUCAUUGACACCCAAAUAUGAACAGAACUUAGGUAAUUGAGUUAGAAGCAUAUCCAACGGCAACAUUAUACGAUGACCCAGACAUUAGAGUCGGGGACAAAGUUGUACUAGCUCGUAGGAGAUCGCGUCGUCCCUCUAGCCUCCACCUCGUUUGGCCAGAGACAGCAAGAGUACCCCGUCGCCAACGCCACCGACGGCCGGAACACGCUGUACCCCGUGGAACUCGCCUCCGUUGUCGGCUCGUGCGCAGCGGACCGCCUCCUGAGAUCGCUCCCCGCGGGCGCCGCCGGCGUCGCGGGCUUCUCCCGGUGUCCGCUCUCCCUGACGUCGCAGCUCUCCUCGCAGCGCGCGUCCGGCAACAAAUUCGACCUGUGCCUGCCGGACUUCGCCUUGUUCGGCAACACGUCGGUGAACCUGGGGCUCCAGUUCCUCCCCGACCUCGCCUCCGUCAUCCCGUACACCCCGCUCGUGAGGAACCCCCGGAACGGCGCUCACUACCUCCCCGUCAAGACCAUCUCGGUGCGCUGGGAUCAGGACGUCGAGGUGUCCAUGCCCCCCGGCGCGCUCGACCUCGACUUCAACACCGGCCGCGGCGGCGUGGUGCUGAGCACGGUGACGCCGUACAUGGCCAUGCGCUCCGACGUGUACCAGAAUAAACGUGUCACGCCAGCAUAUCUGCUCCUCGAUCCAGCAUCUCCAACAAAUUGUAAUUUGUAUCCACGGAUAUCCGCAUCUAAUUAAUCGUUAAGUCAACUCCAACACUUACUUUCCUUCUCCUUUAGCAACGCAAAAUAAAGCCUGAACGUCUCUGCAUAUACAAACACAUAUAACAGGAUCAAACCAUCGAUCUCAAGUUCUCAUUUUCUCAACAACCCAAAGCUCUUCCAGUCGCUAGAAGAUGAGGAAGCACCAUGCCACCUUCGCUGCAACUGCAACCCAGCAUGCAUCCUCUGCAGCUAGCCGUCGCAGUGCGCGCGGCUUCGGCGGCAGGUUCGCGAUGUGCCUCCCGGCCUUCGCUGCAUUCGGCGACACGCCGGUGUACCUGGGGACGGAGUCGCGGGGCCUCGUCGAGUACACGGGCUCCAUCCCGUACGCGCCGCUCCUCGCGAACCCGAGGAACCCCGGCCAGCGGCCACUACAUCCCCGUCAAGGGCAUCUCCGUGAACUGGCACGGCGUGGACGUGGCGGCCUCCCUGCCCAACGGUGCGCUGGAUCUCGACGGCCACACCGGCCGAGGCGGUGUCGUGCUGAGCACGGUCACGCCGUACACCAUCAUGCGGGCGGAGGUGUUCCGCCCGUUGAUCCAGGCGUUCGACGAUGCAAUAACCAGGCUGCAAACCAUGGCGCCAUCAAUUACUGCUACUGAUACUGAUGAGCUGGUACUUAAUUAAUGAGCUGACUGAUACUGAUGAUCAUCUUUGAGCUGAUCGAGAUCAACUCACCUGCAGAGGGAAGAUGACAGAUGUGAAGCGUGUGCCAGCGCUGAAGCGGCCGAUCAGCUACGACGUACCAAGGAUCGACCUGGAGCUGGCCGGCGCCAGAAGCAACUGGACUGUGUUCAAUAACAACUACCUGUGCAGGUGGACGGCGCCAUGUGCGUCGGGAUCCUCGAGAUGGGGCCGGGCGCCAUGCCGGUUGAUGGCGAGCUGGCAAUGGUGAUCGGCGGGAAGACGAUGGAGAACAACCUGCUGGUGUUCGAUCUGGAGAAAGGGGUGCUGGGGUUCAGCAUGUUGUUGGACUUUCAGUUGACCAGCUGCUACAGCUCUAACCUGAGUCGCCUUUGAGCCAGUAACAGAGUGCUGCAGCUUUGUAGGCAAGUGCUGCACUUGUACUCCACCAGCACAAGCUCUGUAGGCAUCUCUGUUUCACGCAUUUUGCAGCAGUAUCAUUGUGGUCCUCAGGCACGAUGCACAACAAAUUUCAGGCCAUCUCUCUCCCUUUUCCCGUUGCCUGUGCUGCACCACUAUGUUUAGAGUCGGAUCCUCACUUGUUAGCUCCAGAUAACUAAUGCUGAUCAAAUGCACUAUGGAUUCAAGAUAAAAUGCAUGAAUUCAUCGACGCAGUUAACAGAUACAACCAAAAAGAAACUCUAUGUAAUGCAAGUUCAUGCAGGCCAGAAUGAAAGCACAGUCGAAUGAAACUGUACCUUAUGCUUUACACAGGCAAGAACAUUUCGACGACACUUUCAGCUUAUGAGGUGGUGGUGCCACGUCGGACCAGCGUGGACGUCCGUGGCGCCACUCCCGGUGGCAGGCGGUGCCAUGCUGAGUACAGUGACGCCGUGCACAACGUCACGGUCAGGUGGCCCGACGUGUUCCUCCCGUCCCCCCGAUAGUUCGACGAGGCCAUGAACAGGUUCUCCUUGCGCUCCGCAAAACAUGGUGUCAUUAUCCAAGUACAGUACCAAAUAGCACUACCUGGCUGAGCUGAUUAGUCAUGCGUCAACUGAACUCACAUGCAAGGGCAACAUGACCGGCGUGAAGAGCGUGCCGCCGCCAGGUCACCGUCGUGAAGGCGGCGGUUGAGCCUUCGAGCUGUUCUACAACGGUUCUUGAAGUGGCCGGUCAGCUAAGACCCUGGAGAGAGCGACCUGAUGGUGUUCCGUAUGAUUAAUUUCAUGAAUGGAAGGGCGUACUUGUUAGCUUCAGAUAAAAUGCUCAAGAUCAAAUAGAUGAAUUCAUCACCGAAGUUAUAUUAAUUGAUACGGUCGGAAAAAAAACUCUUUACCAAUAUUAAUUGAUACGGUCGGAAAAAAAACUCUUUACCAAUUUCAUGCAGGCAAAGAUAUAAUUAAAGAGACUACGAUCAAGAGAAAAAUCUUGGUAACCGUACCUACAUGAUGCUUUACACAGGCAACGACAUUUGGACAGAGAUUUCCGGCUCUCCUUGUAUACAUAAUGCAUAUGGAAUUUGGACAGCUAACCGUCAUUUCAAACAAAAAGCUAACUAUGAUUUGAGAGGCCGGGUAGUAUAUGGUAGAUCCUUGACAGCCCUCAAGGUGGCCUGCCAAAAAUUGAAAAUAAAAAAUGACUCGAGACUUUAGAAAUUCAUAUUUAGGGGGUGUUUGGCUCAGGGGGCUAAAGUUUAGCCCUGUCAUAUUGGAUGUUUAGAUACUAAUUAGAAGUAUUAAAUGUAGUCUAAUUACAAAAGUAAUUACACAGAUGGAGUCUAAUUCAUGAGACGAAUCUAUUAAGUCUAAUUAGUCCAUGAUUUGACAAUGUAGUGCUACAAUAACCAUUUGCUAAUGAUGGAUUAAUUAGGCUAAAUAGAUUCGUCUCGCGAAUUAGCCUAGGGGUUCUGCAAUUAGUUUUAUAAUUAGUUCAUGUUUAGUCCUCAUAAUUAGCAUCCGAACAUCUGAUGUUACAGGACUAAACUUUAGCCCCUGGUAUCCAAACACGCCCUUGGUCACCAUUGACUAAUUUGUCCGCACAAUCGUUAGCCAAGUCACAGAAAUUAAAGAAAAGCAUGCACUGUAAGUUAUCUGGUAGAAAAGAAAACAGCAUCGAUAAGGAGGUUCUCACCAUGCUAGAUGAGGUGUGAAGCUUCUUUUACUCGAAUUUGACUUCUGGAAUAUGAGCGAUCUUGUGCUUGUCCUCUCCUUGGCACUUCUCUGACAGUGCUAGGCAGUUGGCGAUCCGCAGUUUCUUUAACCCAGUAAGACGCUGUAUGCUUUCUGGCAGUGAAGAUAGCAUUGGGCAUGAGCCGAUUUCAAUUUGUCUCAAAGAAGUUAAAUCUCCCAGCCAUUCUGGCAGCGUCUCCAAGUCAUAACAGUCCUCUACCAAGAAUACCCGGAGGGAGAUGAAAGAUCGGAUAACCUCUGGCAAUGUUGUAAGACCCGUGAGGGAGGACAGAACAAGGUUCUCGAUAGAACAGAGAUACCGGGCCCUAUGCCACGCUUCAGGAGAAGGGGAUGUGCCCGCUAUCAAAAGGAAACAUGGAGAAGUGAUAGAUGAGAGGUUCCCAAACCCAUGUUCCGGAAAAACGUGAUUGCUAUUAUAUACCGCCCAGGUCACGCUCAUCGGCAGCAAUCAGCAGAUGUAAAUUAGGGAUUAAGAACUCUUCAUCUUCAUUAGACGUUCUCGUUGUCCACCACCCUUCCAAGUUGUCCAUUCCCUCCAAAAGAAUCAUUCUUAGCUUCGAGCAACUUCCGUGGUCCCCAUAAAAUUCCCUCCCGACACUUUUGAGAUUGGGCAUUCUACCCAAGCCCAAUGCUCUCAAAUUUGGCAGGCGCCCAAGUGGAGGGAGGUGGCUGCACCCUUCCAGAUUGGAAAGAACGAUGGUGGAAAGAUGAGGUAGGUAGGAAGGAAGCUCCAGCAUCCACCUAGAGAAGUCUACGCUCACGUAACCAUCAAGAUGAAGGUGUCCGAGAUUUCUAGGAGGCACAAGCUUCUCCAGCACCGAUUUGUCAACCGAUGCAUCUGCAUGCUCCACCAUACUACUUUCACCAUGUCCCCAUGAAAGCCACAGACUCGUAAGAUUUGAGUUGUUCAACAGUUUUGCCUGGUCUGCCCCUUCCAGAUUCUUGACAUUCUUAAGACCUUUGAUCUGCAGCUCAAGGCAGGGUGUCUUCUCGAGCUCUAAAAUUUGACUCCAUAGAUCACCACGUCCAUCAAGCACACAUGACCUUUCCAGGUUUAGUUGUUCCCUAAGUUUAUCAACUUCAGAACGUAUAUGGAAUGCAAAAAGUCCUCUUUCGACAUGUACAAGUGUAGACAUGUUAAAAAUGCUAUCCGGCAAGCCAACAAGGAAAAAGCAGCCUUGCAGAUCCAAACUCUGAAGUCGUAAAACACCAAUAGAAGCAGGCAGAUGUCUAAGUUUUACACAGAACGACAAAUUUAGGUGCUUUAACAUCAUGAGUUUGCAUAGAGACUCGGGCAACAUUUGAACCUUGGAACAGCUUGUCAUGUUCAGAUACUCAAGCUUAGAAAGUUGAUCAAUACAAUCUGGGACCUUUUCAAGAUUAUGGCAAUCUGACAGCUCAAGAUGUGUUAGAUCAUGAAGUUGACAGCAAGAUUCUGGUAGUGAGUGGAGUUUGUAGCAAUCGGAUAGGUUCAAAAACUGAAGCUUAUGCAACUUGCCAAAGGAUUCUGGAAGGGUAGGCAGUUCAUGGCAGCUUGCCAAGUUUAAGAAGAGCAAAGCACUGAGGUUACCGAAAGAGGUGGGAAGUUCAUGAAGGUUGACACAUCCUGAUAGGUCAAAGUAUUGCAGCUU
RNAcentral lists this long non-coding RNA (51282 nucleotides) under Setaria viridis. RNAcentral describes it as "long non-coding RNA (SVIR_LNC006214)". Lineage: Eukaryota; Viridiplantae; Streptophyta; Magnoliopsida; Poales; Poaceae. The record is from RNAcentral.